This 56267-nucleotide long non-coding RNA is filed under the name Gossypium raimondii (Peruvian cotton). RNAcentral's name for it is "long non-coding RNA (GRAI_LNC008450)". Lineage: Eukaryota; Viridiplantae; Streptophyta; Magnoliopsida; Malvales; Malvaceae. The record is from RNAcentral.
AAACUGGGCCUGGGAGCCCAAAACUAAAACCAAGACCCAAAAAUUGGUCGAGUUGGGCCUGAUAUGUAAAACCGGGCCGACAGUCCAACCAGUGGCUAGACCAAUCGGGUCAUCAUUGACUCAAACCGAACCGACUCGGGAUACCGUAAGGGUGUCACAUCUAUAUCACCUGACACGGCGGAGCCGGUGGCUACGAUGGUGGCGUCCCGAUGGCUAACAGCAAUUGGUCAUUGGUGGUUGAGUAGGGAAAAAGUUACACUCCUACUGGAUUCUACCAGAGAAUUUGAUUUCAGAUUAAUUAUUCCAAAAAUAAUAUUAUUUUAAUAGUUUAAUAUUAAAUUAAAUUUAAUACAUCUUAAUACUUAUCUUAAUAGUAUUUUAUUAUCUUAAUAUUAAAUUUAAUUUAAUGUUUAUUAACAAGAUAAAUAUUUUAUUAUUUUAAUAAAAUUUAAUAUUAAAUUUAGUUUAAUAUUUAUCAUAUUAGAUUAAAUUUAAUAUUAAAGUGAUUAAGUUUAAUCAUAGUUGAACUCUCUAAGCUCUCCCUAUAUAAAGAGAGCCUUAGGUCAUUAUUUUCACACACUUGAACUUAAGAGAAAGUUGUAGAAAGAAAAUUCUCUAAAGAGAUUAUUCCAGAAAAUGUCUAGAGAUAUUUUUCUAAUUUACAACUUGACCUAAAUAUUUAGAGAAAUUACAAAAUUAUCCCACUGGUAAUUUUGUGAAAAAAUUUUUGAUUCAAAGUGAGCCCACACUCGGUAGACGUGAGCUUGAGGAUAGUGGAGAAGACAACUCAGUCGAAGUGCUCAUCCUAGACGAAUCGAAAAGAUAGAAUUUUGAUUAAAUGUUUAUUACUUUAGAUAUCACAAUCAAGAUCUUAUUCCGCUGCGUUUUCUAAACUCGUUUUUUUUCCAACACUUACCUCGAAAUCUAGAGGUAAACCUUAUAUCAUAAUCAGAAAUGAUCGACAAUGGUAAGCCGUGCAAUCUCAAAAUUUCUGAAAUAUAUAAUUCAGCUAAUUGCUCGAGCGGAUAAUCAAUUCGAACAGGUAUAAAAUUAGUUGAUUUUGUCAAUCUAUCAACAAUAACCCAUAUCUUUUCUUUUCAGAGUCAAUGGUAACCCUGAAACAAAAUCCAUAGUAACGCAUUCCUACUUUCACUCUGGAAUCAUCAAAGGUUGUAACAAACCUUACGAAACUUGAUGUUCGGUUUUCACUUGCUGACAUAUCAAACAUUUGGAUACAAACUCGAAUAUCUCACGUUCAUACUGAGCCACCAAUAAUGUUGUUUUAAAUCAUUAUACAUUUUGUUACUUCCAAGGUGUAUCGAGUAAACGCUACUGUGAGUUUCACUUAACAACUCUCAGUUUAACCUAGAAUCAUUUGGUACACAAAAUCGAUCCCGAAAAUAAAAACAAUCAUCAACUCUGAUACGAAAAUCAAUCUUCUGACCACUUUUCACUAGUUCAAAUCUCGACAACAAAUCUAAAUCAUCUUUCUGAAGUUCUCAAAUUUUCGAUAAGAAUAUCGACUUCACCAUCAACUCAGCCAAAAUAAAACCAUCACGUUCCAAUGUCAAAUUUGCAUUCAUGGCUCUCAAAGUGAAAAGAGAUUUUUGACUCAAAGCAUUUGCGAUAAUAUUAGCUCUCCCAGGAUUAUAAUCAAUUACUAAAUCAUAAUAUUUUAGCAAUUCAAGCUAUCUGCGCUGACACAAAUUCAAUUCUUUCUGAGUCAUCAGGUAUUUCAAGCUUUUAUGAUUGGUAAAAAUAUGACAUUUCUCACCAUAUAAAUAAUGUCACCAGAUUUUUAAAGCAAACACAACCGCUGCCAAUUCUAAAUCAUGUUUUGGAUAGUUUCACUCGUAAGGCUUCAAGUGCCUUGAGGCAUAAGCAAUUACUUUCCCGCUCUACAUCAAAAACACAACCCAGUCCACAAAGGGAUGCAUCACUAUAAAUGGUAAACUCUUUAUUGGUUUCAAGUUGAAUCAAAACUAGAGCUUCGGUUAACAUAUUGUUCAGUUGAUCAAAUUUUUUUUGACAUUUAUCGGACCAAACAAAAUUAACAUCUUUUUGCAAUAGUUUAGUCAUCAGAUAUGCUAUAAGGGAAAAUUUUUUAACAAAACACUGAUAAUAUCCCACUAAACCCAAAAAGUUGCGUACCUUAGAAACAUUCUUUGGUAUCUUCCAAUAAACAAUUGCUGAUAUUUAUUCAGAUCAACACAAAUACCAUCAGUAGAGAUUACAUGACCUAGAAAUCCAACCUCCCGUAACCAAAAUUUACAUUUAUUAAAUUUCGCAUAAAAUUAUUUUUCACGCAAGGUCUGCAAUACAAUCCUCAAAUGCUCAGCAUGGUCUGACUCCUUCAACAAGUAAGUCAAAAUGCCAUCUACAAAUACCACAACAAAAUGAUCUAAGUACGGUUAAAACACCUGAUUCAUCAGGUCCAUAAAUGUAGUUUUAGGUUAUUACAAUCUUUUUACAAUAGGUUAUUACCGUAACGAGUUCUGAAUGCAGUUUUAGGCACGUCUAGCUCUUUAACUUGCAACUGGUAAUAACCUGACAGCAAAUCAAUCUUCGAAAAUAUCGUAAUUCCCGUUAAUUGAUCAAAUAAAUCGUUUAUUCAAAGUAAUAGAUAUUUAUUCUUAAUUUUAACUUGAUUCAACUGUCGGUAGUCUAUACACAAUCUCAUCGAUCUGUCUUUCUUUUUCAUGAGUAAAACUAGUGCACCCCAAGGCAACACACUCGGUCGAAUAAAAACACGAUCCAACAAUUAUUGUAAUUGCGCUUUCAACUCUUUUAAAUAUGUGGGAGUCAUUUUAUAUGGAGCUGUCUCUAGUAUAAGUUUUAUUAUAAAUUCAACUUCUCUAGUCGGUCGUAACCUUGGUAACUCUUCGCAAAACAAGUCAGCAAAUUCUUUAACUCUUGGCACUUGAUCAAUUGUCAUUUUUGACACCCGUGAAUUAAGAAUGUACGCAAGAUACGGUUUACAAACCUUUCUGAUCAAUUUUUAAGCUGGCCAUGCCAAAAUUAUAUUCGUAGCAUAUCAUGUUCCAGAAGCUUCAACAUAAACAAGUUCAUCAUCUUGACAUUUCAAAGUAAUUGCUUCUAUCGACAAUUUACUAUUGCAUCAUGUUCAGUCAACCAGUCCAUACCCCAAAUGAGAUUAAAAUUAUCAAAUAGAAACAGCAUUAUAUUAGUAGGAAAAUAGUAACUCUGGAUUUUUAGUGGACACAUUCUACAAAUUUGAUUAACUAACACACACUAACCCGACGGAUUUGUGACUCUGACAAUGUAAUCAAUUGACCCAACAGGUAAAUUCUUUUUGUUUACUAGUGUUGUGCAUAUAUAAGAUGAGUUGACCCAGGGUCAAUCGAUGCAUAAACAUUAAUAUCAAAAAGAGAGAAUGUAUUAGCAAUAACGUCUCAAGUAGAAGUCUCCUCGUGAGCUUUAAUAGCAUAGGCCUUGCCAAGCACUUUAACCUCCGACCGCUCUGUUGUAUUAAUAGUUUUCCCUCAACCAAUUAUACCACUUUUACUAUUCCCCAGCUUUCUACCUCUCUGGAAAAUAGUCUUAGGUUUGGAAGCUUAAUACCAUAAGUUGUUAUAUUACUUUGGAUAAUUUCUAAGAAAAUAUUUAGUGGAACCGCAUUUAAAACAAGUUCCCAACUUGAAUUGACAUUCAUCGAAAUGGCCUUUACCACAAUGUUCGCAAACCGGUGAAUUUACAUAUUUCAAAUUGCUUUGCCUUGGUCUAUCUCUAUCAAUGAAUCUUGAAGGAGAAGUAAACCGACUAGCAUCAUUACAAAAUUUCUUUGACGAAUGACUCUGAAUUGAUUUGGAUGACCUUCUUUUAUUGAAAUCUCGAGACUUCAUAUUCGAUUGUAUUUUAUUUUUGCAAACUUCUUCCAUUUUUUACGCGCUUUCUGAUAACUCCAUAAAUUUUCACAACUUUAAAGCUCAAACCAACAUUCAGAUUUCAUCAUUUAGUCCAUCUUCAAAAUGAAUGCACAUCUCUUUUACCGAUGAUACGAUGUUUCGAGCAUACUUACUCAAAUGAACAAAUUCUCGUUCAUAUUUUGCUACUGAUCAAUUUUCUUACUUCAUCUUGAGGAACUCUUUCUUCUUCCUAUACAGAUAUAACCGACUAACAAAUUUAUUUUUAAACUCUGUCAGAAAGAAAUCUCAAUUAACCCAAUCAUUUGGAACCAUAGUUGUCAACGUACACCAUCAUGAGCAUGCUUCAUCUUUCAAUGGUGAAAUUGCACAUUUUAGGUUGUCCACGGGUGGACACAUAAGUUCAGCAAAUACUCUCUAUAUAUUCUCAAGCCAAUACUUAAUUCUAGAAGGAUCUUCGUCAACUUUACCCCCUGAAUUCUUCAGCCCUACAUUUACAAAUUUUAUCAAUAGGAGGGCAAUGAGAUAUUGCAGGUACAAGAUUUUGAGGACACGAAGGUGCUGGAAGAGGCACAGGCGGGGGUAAAUGUUGCGGAGCCAUAGGGUUGGCUCUCAUAAAAUCACUAAACCAUUGAUUCAUCAUUUUGUAGAAAAUAUUUUUCUUUUCACUAUCAAACGAUUGCAGAACUAACACACUUUGACUUGCUUCCUGAUUGGAUGCUAGGGCAUUACUUUCAUCUUCAUUUGCUACAGUAUGAUUUGAUUCAGCCAACAUUUUGUAUCUAUAAGAAAAACCGAAUCAGAAUGAAUCAAAAGCAUUACAUUAUUAGAGGAUAUAUGUGGCAUGUAUAUUCUAGACUCGAUACGCACUACAUUAGUCCUAGAAUCGACUAAAUCAUAACUCUGAUACCACUAAAUGUAACAACUAUAACCUGUCUUCACUAUCGGAUAAGGGUUACAGAGUAUUACAGAACAAUUCAGAAUAUUUAACUUCAAAUAGAAACUACUAUUUAGAUUAAAUAUUAACAUUCAAAUACACAAUACAUUUAUAGCAUAAGUACAUUUACGUUAAACCGAACUUACUGGGCCUUAAAAAUAGUUUAGGAACCUUCAAGGACUAAUUUAAAACAAAUUUGAAAAUUUUAGAAAUUUUGGAAAUGGGGUCACACAAUUUGAAGUAUUAAACACAAGACCGUGUCCCAACUUAUGUGUUCACCCGUUUGGGUAUUCGAAAUAGGGUCACACAGCAGUGUCGUAGGCCGUGUGUGCAUUUGAAGUUAGGUUACAUAGUCGUGUUGCCAGGCCAUGUAACUAUCUGAGACCAUGUCAUUCAUCCUACACCUAAAAUUUUAAAAGACACACGACAGUAUAGGGUGGCCGUGUGUGGCACACAACCGUGUGACAGCUUGUGUCCUAAGCCAUGUGCUCCCCUUAAUUACUUAGGUAUCAAACCAAACCAUUUCCACACACAUUCAAAUGGUUAAAACACAUUCAAACACACAUAUAACAUACCAAAUUCAUACAACUUAUGUGCCAAAUCAAUGUGUCCUUAUUGACACCACAAUUGUUAUACAAAUACAAUAAACAUAUCACCUAAAAGGUCUCUAUCAUACACAUACUAUUCAAUUAACAACCAUGUUUACAAUUUCCAAAUACCAAAAAGCAUACCGAAAGCAAAUCAAACAUGUCUAACAUCAUAAAUUACCUAUCAAAUUGGCCAUACCACAUUUCCAAAAUCAUUAAAGAUACCAAAUCAAAACAAUGCCUAAACAAGUGUACAACAUUACCAUACCAAAAUAGUAUCAACAUGAAAUAUGGUUUACCAAUUCAUAACAAUAUAAGCUUAAUUACAAUUUAACUAACAUGUUAAACUUAACCACAUCAAACCCUUUAUACAUGCCACAACCAAAAUGACCCAAAGACAAAAGCUACCGAAAAGAGUUUGGAUAGUGUGAGCAUUGAAGUUGAUCCGUCCGACUCAUUCCGCAAAAUGUUAACUACAAAAAUCAAAACAAAACAAGUAAGCUUAUGAAGCUUAGUAAGCCUAUAGUUAAAAUUUAAUUUAACUUACCAUAACUUAUAAAUGAUCACUAAUUAAUCUUAAAUCAUUAUAAUCUUGACAACCAUUUCUAAAAUCACAUAUCAUUAGUACCAAAACAUUCAAUCAUAUAAAUUAAUAUAUACACUGGCUGAAACCAAAGUUAUCCAUGCUUCCAUAUAUAUAUAUAUAUAUAUACACAAACAUAUCAUUAUACAUAAAUCCAACUCAAAAAGUAAUUUAACAUUUAAACAUAAAAUUUCAUGGCCCGUUAAACUCUAGCAAAUUGACUCGGAUACUCAGAUUUCCCCAAAACACACUAGAGAGCAUCGAAAUACUAACAGAGGCAUCGUAGUGCAAAUACAGAGGCACCAAAGUGCAAACAGAGGCACCGAAGUGCAAUAUCAUUCAAGCGCGCAUACUAAUCCUAUUGGCAUGCCAAUCGUAUCCUAACCGUUUACUACGUUCAACCCAGCAUUAUACUUAAAUUCAUAAUAUCAGUAAAUCAACCACUCAGGGGCACUUCUUAUUUCCAUACACAUACUAUAAAUAUGUUACAUUAUUUCAAUAUUGUGCAACACAAGAUUUACCAUUACCAAAAUAUUCAUUUUCUACUUGUACUUAAUUACAAUAAUUAAUAAUUUACAACUAAAUAAUGAAAUUUCAAAUUUAUUACAAUUAACUAGAAAUUAAUAUAUUAUCAUAAAGAAAGACACAUAUACAUACUAUUGCACUAUAAACUUACUUAUAUUAUGCUUUCGCUCAACUCGUAAGGACUAAUCCGCAACUUUCUCUUUUCCCCGAUUAAUCUCUGUACGAUUCAAUUCUUGGUCUAUAUAAUGAUUAUAUUCAAUAUAUCAAUUUCAAAUAUACCAUCAAACUUAUUUCUAUGCAUAUACCCUUAAAUUUUUAUAUUUACAAAUUUUCGCUAAACUUAUACAUUUUAUAUAAUUUAGUCCCUAAAUCCAAAAUUCCAAAUUUACUAAGAUUUCAUAAAUUCCUAUGCUAGAUGGAUUUCUUUAUAAACUAGUACAGCCCAUAAUUUUUCAAAAUUCAUAAGAAAUCUUUGUAAAUUGUAAUAUUUUAUCAACUUAGUCAUUUAACUAAAAACUAACAAAAAUUCCUUUACAAAAUAUUUCUAAACUAUAACCAAGAUUACAAAUUCAUCAUUAAACAUAAAAAAAAUACCUAGAAUUCAUCAAUGGUAAAUUCCAAAACCUUUAAAAAUUUUACAAAAUAGUCCCCUAGUUAGCUAGAUUAAGCUACAACGAUUACAAAAACAUAAAAAUUAAGAGAAACGAAUUAAAAACGAAUUUACACCCAAACCUUCAAAAUCUAUCCAUGGUAUUUUCUUUUCUAUUUUCGGUGGAGUAUAAUGUUAAAGAAGAUGAUGAUAAAAUUUUAUUUUUACUUUACUUAAGUUAUAAUUACUUAUUUACUGGUUUACCCCUUAUUUAAACAUACAUUUUAACUAAUCGCAAACCUAUAAUCGUCCACUAGUUUAUAACAUGGUAUAUUUGUAAUAGAAAACCUCUUACAAUUACUAAAUAAACCAUUAAAUCAUUAAAAUUCAAUGGUGAUUAAAUUUUAUGUCUUUUACAAGUUAAUCCUUUUUUAAUUAGUUAGCUAUUCAAACAUUAAAAUAUCUAAAUCGAACCUUCAUAAUGAGGUCUCGAUACCUCAUUUUUUGAAACCAAUUGACUUUCGGAAUAACCACUAAUACUUAGCCAUUAAUUUAAUUAGCUAAAAUUCAUCAAGUAAAAUAUUCAAUAAAAAAUUAUUGUUGGAUCGUAUAAUUUAAAUACUAAUUAUUACAGACUUACUUAUCGAAUUUUUGGUCUCGAAACCACUGUUUCUGACACCACUAAAAAUGGGUUGUUACACGCAUUUUCCUUUCAACGAUAACUAUUCCAACGGCUACAAGAGCUCCAACAACCAUAAUUUUUCCUAUAUAAACCCCUCCAAACUUGAUUCUUUUCAGCUCAAUACUUAAUCCUCAAUCAUCAAUCAUCAAUAUGAAUCAUCAAUUCUCAAUUCAUAAUUAUUUUUUCAGAAAUCUUUUUCUGAAUUUUAUUCUCUUUGAUUUUAUUUUUUUUAUUUUAUUUUACUCAUAAUUUUUAAAAUAGCAAAUCAACUUAUUCAUGUGGAUGACAAGCAUAUCUCCAACGUUCAGUUACAAAUGGUAAGAAAAUAUUAUUAACUUAUUUAGUUUUAAAUAGUUAAUUAUUAUGUUAUUAACAUUAUUAAUUUUUUAUGUUUAUAUACUCAACCCAAAGAUUGGAUUUUGGAGACGUACAUAAACAAUUUAAGCGAAGGUGCAUCGGAUGUCAUUUAUGGACACUUGCGAGAUGCAAGAUUUUUAAACGUGGCUCGCAUGCUCGGGGAGGCUAAAUUGGAUCGCUCACUUAUCAGAGUUUUGUUUUAAAGAUGGAGACCGAAGACACACACAUUCCAUCUUCUCUGUGAUAAGUGUAUAUUUACACUUGAGGACAUUAGUUUACAACUCGGUCUAUCGGUCAAUGGGGAAGUCAUUAUGGGGCCAAUGCUUAGUGCCGAUUAGAGCACAUGCGAGCAACUACUAGAGAAUGUGUCGAACAAGUUUAGGGAUAGCCGAAUCGAGAUAAGAUGGUUGGAGGACAACUUCAAAACUAUCGAGGCUUUCACAAGUGACAUUGAAAAAGAACAAUUCAAGUGCGCAUUCAUCUUGAGGUUGAUCGAAGGUUUUCUCAUUCCAGAUAAAUCUCAACAUCGGGUACAUUUAAGGUGGCUACUACUACUAGCCGACUUGAAAGAAGUAGGACGACUUAGUUGGGGAUCAACGAUGCUGGCAACAUUGUAUCGAGAAAUGUGUCAAGUGACGAAACCAGAAAAAGUUAAAAUCGGUAAUUGCAUACUCCUUUUUCAAUCAUAGGCAUGGUAUCAAGUAACAUUUUUAUGCCCCCGAAUGGACCUCUUUUAUGAAUUUAUACUCAUAAUAUGAUAAAUUUAUUUUGAUAAUAUCAUUAUCGUUUUAAUUUUUCAUUGUUGUAAUUUUGAAAAAAAUAAAUUAUUUGAAUAGGUGGAACAACCUUGUAAGACACAGUGGUAUACCAACUGAGCUCAAGGAUAUUUGGCUAGCGUUAGAUCAACAAACCAAAUAGGAGGUUAGUUUAUGAAUUUCAAAUUUAUCGGUUUUUUAUUCCAAUAUUUGAAAUUAAAUAUUAUAAACGUGCUAAAAUUUAUAAAUUCGUAUUGCGGUUUGUAUAGAUGCCAUAUGUGGAUUCGAGGAUUCAAGAAUGCAUCCCAACCAAAUUUUUGGUUAAUCGCAACAUCUGGCAAGUCAAAGUUCCAUUGAUCAUUUUUGCAAUGGUUGAGAUACACAAAUCUUACUGAGUGAUGCUGCAGUUCGGGUGUAUGUAACAUAUUCCAUUGCCACCCUAGGAGCUUAAUGACCUGUACAAUAUCUGUUAGAGUAUGCCCAAAGAUCAAUCAUGAGAUGGUUGUAAUAACAUACUUGAUUUAUCAUGUUUAUUAAUAUAAGGCGUUACCAUUAUUAUUUCAGUUUCUUUUCUGUGUGUAUAAAUAAACUGUUUUAUAAUAAUGUCCUGAGAAUAAUAUGAUUAUUCUUAAAAGGUCCUUAGUCAAGUAUUAUUGUUGGCUAGGACAACAAUAAUGCAUUAAGACUAACAUGUAGUUGAUUGAUGAUAAAGAGUUGUCAUUGAUAUGGAAUGUCAAAAUCGAUGCAUGAAUAUGUGUGUUAGAGAACAACAUAUUAGACUGACCCGUUAUGAGUAUGUUCUUGGAUUAUUAUGUAAUUAUCACAACAUUACUCAUAGUGAUUAAUAUGUAUAUGAUCUUCAGACUUAAGAUCAUCAUAAUCCCAACAUCGUGAGUUGUAUAUUUUGAUAUAGUCAAACGUACACUGGUUGUUCUAUAAAGGCUGAUGUUGGAUAUACCACUUGAUUGAGUGAGACUAGAAAUGCAUGGUUAUGCUCAAAUAAGCUGUCAUACUUAUUUGUAUAUCAUAGUCUACUUAAGAUAUCAAGGAACAUGGAAUGGACUAUGCAAGUGUGACUAUUCCAUGACUUGUGUCCAAUCCAGAGAUAAAAGACAUAAGGAUUAUUGCAUGAAAGGUUAAUCAUAAAAAGGUUAUGUCCAAUCAUGAUUUCUUGUAACUUAGGUAGCAACGAUGCAUUGCUAGGUGUCACUCAUUGUUUGUAACAUUGGAAUCAUUCUAGUAUUACUGCUAACGUUACAAAAACCUACAGGUCACACCCUAUAGUUGAAAUGAGCAGAAUAAAACAUAGGCGGUAUUGUGUUUGGUUGUCGCUUGAAUAAAACAUAGAAUUAAUUUAAUUGGGUAAUCAAAUAUCGAAUACAUUAUAUGUACAAGGUUGUUGUACGCAUAAUGAGAACAUGAAUUUGGUUCGUAUAUAAAUUUAAAUAAAUAUAUAGUUUACCGAAAUCAUUAUUAUAAUUAAUGUAAUUAUAAUUUUUGGUUUAAAAAAUAUUGUUAUAUUUAUUUAAUUUCUAGAAACCCUAAAAAUAGAUAUAAAAAUCUCAUUUUUCUUUGUUUGAGGGUCAAGCAGCCGUCAAAGCAAAGUCUUCUCCAAAAACAGUUUUGGGGAUUUCUUCCGUUCAUUAUCAACUAGGUGGAUUAUGUAGAGGCCGGAGUCACGAUAGAUUGCGACUUGGUUCGAUAGUAAAUCAGAUUACUCAUUACCGAGACAUCGCUGUCUACUCAGAAUAAAGAUUCGAUAAUUUUGAAACAUUUAUUUCACCCUGAUUCGUUCCUCACACAUGGAUCCAUGGUUAGGAUCGUUGGAUGUUUUAUUUUUUCGCUGCGCCGUAAGGGUGCCAGCGUUCUAAUAAUAUCAACUUACGAGGGAGACUCGAGGAAGAUUGGCCAACGUUCCACAAAAAUUAUAUCGAGAUUUGGCAUCGUAGGUACGAUUACUUGCUAACACAUGAACCAUUUCUCACACUAGAGUUGGCGAAAUCUCCAGAUUACAUGAAUUGGUUCAAGUAUAACAGCAAGUCGUAUCUACUGCCAACUUCAGAAAGGAGUAGGCAACGUCGUCGUAGGAGGCCAAGACGAGGGCCCAUCAAUCUUAGGUCGGGAGAAGAUGCCACAAGGGGAUCAACAUUUGCUUCAGCUUCACACGAUGACCCAAUAGUCGUGUAACCUCCCCGUCAAUAUUCCUAAUGGAAACAAUAACGUAGGUACGAAAUUCAUGUUUUUCACAAAAACCUCGACAAUUCCCAAUGCCAAGUAUUCUUAUGGAAAUAAUCUGCUUAAAAGCUCGAUAUGCAAACUCAAGGGAUUACAUUGAGUUUAUUUUAUAGAGCUCGUACCCCAAGGCACAUCAAACAAUUCCAGCAACAACACAUGCCCCAGGCAUCACAAGUUUUUGAGGUAUACAAUUAAAGUUUAAAUUUGUGGGGGAGAAAACGCUCCCCCGUAGCAUUUUUCAUCAAGUCACAUGUUUGACAUGUCAGUGGAAAAUGCGUCCUGCAGGAAGUGUUUUCACUACCAUACCAGUUGAAAAUGCCUCCUGCAAGAAGCGUUUUCUCUCUGGCCAUUUCAACACCCAAGCCAACUUGGUUGUUUCUUUCUUUGAAGCCAUUGCAACUCAAGAUUCUAUAGAUAAAUUUCAUACAUUGCAACUCGAGAUUCCUGGGAUAAAUUAAAAAAAUUCUCUUUUACCCCGCCCCAUCCCCUAUAUAAAUGGUCGUUCUCAUCCCCUACUCCAACAUAUCUCAGUCUCCUUUAAAUUGUUUUCUUUUUCUUGCGUGUUAAAAUUUAUGGGUUUAAAUAUUUAUUUCUCUCUGGGUUCACGGUGAUAGUUUAAGUUGUGUUUGGGUUUAUGGUGAUGUUGUGGAGUUUGGUAACCUACAAAUUUCACCUGUCGUGUGAGUAUGGAGCCAUCACCUAAGAAGCCGAGAUCGUAUUGCAACUUGAAGUCCAAGUUGACAAUGAUUAUACCGUCUCGAGUUAAACUGUAACUAAGGCUUCAAGUUUACAAAGGUUAUGUUGUCAAAGGAUGAAGCAUAAUUGGGGCCCUAGUUGACGAUGGUUAUGCGAGCACGACAAUGAGUUUCUCCUCGGCAAAGGAGCAUGCUUUAUAAAACCCAUACGGAAGUGCGAGGAAGGAAAAUGCAAGAGUCUUCAAGUAUAAUCAAGUAAUCUGUGUUGUCCAUCCCCACCAAAGGUAGUGACCUUAUUAGUAAAACAUGUUACACCCUAAUUCUGUCACAGGUUAUGACCCCGUCUUUGGUGGACAUGGAUAAAACGAAAUACUUGAUUAUACUAAAACGUUACUACGUUUUUCUUUCUCGUACUUCUAUUUGGGUUUUAUAAAGCGUCCUCCUCUGAUGAGGAAAAGCUUGUUGUCGUGACCGAAUAACCAUUGUCAACUAGGGCUCCAUUUAUGUUUCAUCCUUUGACAACAUAACCUUUAUAAACUUGAAGCCCUAGUUACACUUCAACCCGAGACUGUAUAAUCACCACCAACUGGGACAUUGAGUUGGAACACGAUCUGGCUUCUUGGGUGAUGGCUCCAUACUCACAUGGUAGAUGAAUUUUGUAGAUCACUCAGCUCCACGACACCACCGUAAAUUGAAACAUACCUUAAAACUAUAAUAAUGUCUAUCUCAAACACAAACAAAAAAUAAAUCCACAAACUUCUAAUUUCCAACUGCAAGAAAAAAAUUAGCAAAGUGAAAAUGAGUCCUACAGGGCGCAUUUUCCUUUCUAUCCAAAAACAAUGUAAAUCAGUAAAUUUAAAAUAAAAUAAAACAACCUACUUUCUCAAUAUUUUUUCCUAGCAUAUUCUUCAAAAUCAGCUCUUAGAGUUUUAUUCAAGUAAUAACUCUAUUUUAAAAUUAGCAUGACUCUUUUUAACUAAUAAUCAUAAAUUAAAUUAUAAUUAUUUUUAAAUGUGUAAUUUUGAGAACUUCUAUUAAAUUAAUAUUUUUAAAUGUAUAAUUAUCACAAUUUCUAUUUUACUUUAAUUUUUAUUUUUAAAUAUGAAUUUAAUAAUAUGAUGAAAAAUAAAAAAUAUUUUCACCAAUUUAAAAAUAUUUUCAAAACUCGUACUUUUAUGUAUAUUACAUAAACAUUUUACUUUUGUACCUUAUUAUGUACAUGUCUAUUUAUUUUUCAUAUCAAGUAACAAAAUAGCAAAUUUUAAACAAAAAUAAGUCUUUCGAUAUCUUCAAAAGUGUUAAAAAAUAUUGAAAUUAAUUUAAAUAAUUAUUCACUCAAUUUUGAACUCAACAAAUUAAAUUACCGAAAAAUAUAGAAUUAAAUAUAAACAACUAAUAACAAAAAUUUAAUAUAUAAUAUUUACAGUUAAGUUUUGUAUUUUAAAAUUUUAAAAAUAAAAAUAAAAAUAUAUAAAUUAAAUUUCAAAUUAAGGACAUAUUUUCUCUUCCAACAAAAUAACAUUCUACCACUACCAAACUUUGAAGUCAUAGAUUGUUGGUCAAUAAGAAAUCAGAUGGCGAUGCGACUGUCAUUUUCUAAUGAACUUUACCAUCAUUCUCUUGGAAAGUAGAAUUAGGCACAUUAUCAGAAGUUUACUUAAAUUAAAAUAUUAUUUUUAUAAAAUUCCAUUUGGGAAUAUAACUACCAUCUAAUAGUCAAAUUAUAUUUGGAUAUAUACAAACUUUUGUGCAUAUAUUUGCCAUCUGUAAAUAUGGAAACACCUUUUUCAAUUAUCGAUCACACUCCACCACCGCUUCAAACUUAGUAAAUUUUUUUCUGAACUAAAAUAGUUUUACAUCAAAAUAUAUUUAAAAUUAACUUUAUUUUGAAUUAUUUAAUUUUAUUAAUAAUACAUAAAAUUAUAUAUUAUUAGUGCAUUAAAUAUUAAUCUACUUAAAUUUAUCAAAAAAUGCUAACAUAUGAUUAAAUUUAUUAUUAUAAAUAUAUUUGUAUUGCAUAUAAAAUUUUAUCAUAUUUAUAUAAGAUAUUUUGUUUGUUAAUAUUAAAUUAUGAGACACCAGAAAAUAUAUUUAUAUAAAUUAAAAAUAAAUUUUGGUUGAACUUAUGAGGAUUAUGGUGUUCUACUUCUAGUUUUAAAACUCACCAUGGUAAUAUCUUAUAAAAACAUUUUAAAAGAGAAGUAUAAAAAGGAUAGAAACACCCUUAAAUCAUAAUUAUUAUUUUGUAAAAAAAAAAACUUUUUAGUAAAUUUCUAAUUAAGGGUGUGUUUGAUAAAUUAAAAAUUUAAGUGUUCAAAAAUUAAAUAUGAAUUUUUUAUUGCAAAAUUUUAUAAGUGCUGAAUUUUUAUUAGAAAAUUGUUCUGUAAAUUAGUAAAAAUAAAUAUUGAAUAUGAUUAUGUUGUUUGGUAAAAGUAAAUAUUAAUUUUUAAUUUUAAUCUUAUUAAUAUAAUAUUUUAGAUAAUUUUAGAUAAAAAUAAAUAUGAUAAUUUGAAUAUCUCAUUUUUUUAGAAAAUAAUUUAAUUUAUUUUUUAAUAAAUUAAAAUAGAUUUAAUGUUUUCUACAUUGAGUGAUAAUUGUACCUAACUUGUUACUUAUCUUAUUCAACAAUAUUUUUUGUUAAAAAAUUUAUAUUAAAUAAAAAAUGAUUAUCAAACACAUUAAAAUUUUAUCAAACACACCCUAAGUUAUUUUUGAGUAUCUAAUUGACUUGUCACACAAACUCAAUCAAAAGCUUAAAUAAUAACAUAGAUAAAUAUAUUUAAUAAUUAAUUAUUUUAUAUUAAAAAUAAUUAAAUAUUUUUAAUUUACUUAAAAUUCCACGUAUUAUUAAUCCAGUGAAUGAGAGCAAUAUAGAUAGGUAAGGGAACCUUUAAAACAAAGGUAGUCUUUUCAAUUCAGUAUUGUUGGUAGCUGCUUAGUAUUGCUUAUCAAACAAAUACUUUAAUAUCCAUGGAGAUCAACAACCCUAAUCCCUCAAAAAUGGAUAGGAAAUUCAUUGAGAGAAACAGGAGAAUUCAAAUGAAAGCUCUCUAUUCUAAGCUCAAUUCCCUCGUUCCACAUCACACCUCUAGGGUUUACUCUUCUCUCUCUCUCUCUCUCUUAAUCUUUUACCUACGAACUUGCUCCAAAAUGUGCACAGAUCUUUGCUAAAUCUGGGGUUUUUCUUCCCCUCUUUAUUUACAUUGCAUGAUGCAUGGGGUUUAUUCAAUUUGCAGGAAGCAAUAUCACUGCCUGAUCAACUAGAUGAAGCUACAAAUUACAUAAAAAGUUUAAAGGCAAACUUGGAGAGGAUGAAGGAAAUGAAAGACGGAUUAAGGGGAUUAGUGGAAAGGGCAAAUACAAGUCGCAGCUAUGGGUCAAAAUCUCCUCAAAUCCAGAUUCAAGAAAUUGGUUCUUCUUUGGCGAUCGCCUUGAACACUGGCUUCAACAGUCAGUUCAUUUUCAAUGAAACCAUUCGUAUUGUUCAUGAAGAAAGAGUCGAGGUUGUGAAUGCCAAUUUCUCUGUUGUCGAUGAUGAUACUGUUUUCCACACUAUUCAUCUCACGGUACUCAUUGCUAGUGUGCUUUCUUCACAUUCAUUUACCCCCCCCCCUUUUUUGAUGAAUAUUGGUUUGUGGGUUUUGUUUUUGAAAUUCUUGGGUUGAAAACGUUGUAGAUUGGGGAGCCAUCGGCAGCUGCCAGGAUAUCUCAAAGAUUGAACAAGUUUGUCCACGAUGUUGAUGCAUCCAAUAAGUACUGAAAGGUACUGUCUUAAUGGGGUAAAUAAUCUGAAUCAUUGAUCUUAUAAACUACACCUAUUGUUAUGAAAUUAUAAAUGAUGUUUUCAAUUCCCCAUAUGAAAUCUUCUUGUUGUUUUAGGUUGGAAAUGGUGUUACUGAAUAUUUGGAAUAUAACACAGAAUCUAUUUUCCUGAAAUAUGCCACCUUUAUUUACAUAUGAAUUUCUAAUGAAUUAAUGUUUUUUUUUUCUUUUAAUUUUUAUAAAUUCAAAUAAAUAUUAGCCUAUUUUACUUGUUUCUAUUUUCGUUAGUCUUGUAUGUAAAGUACAUUUUAAAGCAAAGAAAGAAAGCCUUAACUUGUUUGGACCGAUGAAUCGCAAUACUUAACUCUUAAGAUUAUUAGCAAGAUGGUUGUUAAAAAAAAUGUAGGAGAUUCAAGUCAUACAGUCGCUUAAUUUUCAAAAAUAAUAUUCGUGAAAGAUUGGAAGAAAAGGUUUUCCCACCUAAGAAAAGCAUGUAAGUUUAGUAUAAAGGCAUGUUUGUAAUUUUCAGUGAAACUUCCUUUUGUUCUUUUUAGAUUAAUGGCAGGACAUAUAUUUACAUGGAAUGAGAAUUCAAUUAUGUUAUGAACAAAAAGGAAGUCAGUCAAUUGUGGAAGUCUUUGGAGAAGUUCUUAGGAAGUUGGAUCAUAUAAUAUUAUAAUACAAUAUAUGUAUGUUUGUUAAAAUUAUAUAAAUUCUAUUCUAUGUAUGAAAAAAGAAUAAAUUCAUCUGUAUGUAUUGAAUGACGUUUGCUUGCCUUUUUUUCUUUAUUUUUCUUCAAUUAAUUUAAAACAUCAUAUUUGUAGACUGGUGCAGAAGUAUAAAUAACACUUUAUUUUUAUAUAACGUUUACAAAUUUUGCUAUACAGUAGAACUCGUGUAUUGACCUGAGUAUGGUUUGAGUUUAAAUCACAGUACUUGUUUUGUUAUUAAAAUUUCACCUUCCUCUUAUAAUUCGUCAAAAAAAAUAUUAUCUUAAUAAAGUGAAAGUUGAAUAUACUAGUCAUUUUGCACUCACGCUACAAGUUGGAUUAAUUAUUUUUUUAAUUAUAAAGUAAACUUUUAAAUGUUAUAAUAUGUUAUAAUUUUUUAUAUUUGAAAUUUAGUUCUCAUACUUUUAUGUUAAAUUUAAAGUGAAUUUAAGUAAUGAAUAUUUUUUUCUCCAUAAAUUAAUGGAUAAUUAUUUAGUACACGAACAACAGAAAGUUUUUAUUCCACAAGUAGAGUUUAGAUUUUACCAUGUUUUUAUUUUAAUUUUUUAAAUACAAUUUAAGGAUAUAUAGCAAAAUCUCAAACCUACACGUGGAGCUAUAACUUUCCACCGCUAAUGUAUCAGAUAAAUAUUUUAAAUUAAUAUUGAAUAAUAGAUCUAAUAUUCAAAUAUGUAAUAUAUAAAUCGAUAAAAGAUAAAUUGAAUAAUUAACUUUUAUUAAACAUUUAAUGACUAUAUAAAACGAAAGAUUAGGGUUAGGUAUAGAUUAUCUUAGGUCAUAUUAUGGUAUUGGUCAUUCUACUAUGCUUACAUUUACGAUUUAAUCUAUAUACUUUUGUUUGAUCUAGUUUGGUCCCUCUAUUAUUAUAAUCUCGUUAGUCUCUAUUAUUAUAAUCCCGUUAGUUAAUCCAAAUAAUUAGCAUCCUUAGGGUAUGUUUCUAUAACAUAUAAUAAUUGGAUGAAAGUGUAACUACUAGGGUAGUAAUUUACAAAGAAUUGUAAUACCCUAGGUAUAUUUGGCUGAUAGAGUGUAAUUACAUCGUAAUCUCAUAAGUCAUGUUCAAUAGUACAAAUUGUAAUUGCACAAUUACGUAACUUGUAUUUUUAAAAAUAUUUAUUACUAUAAAAAAUUAUCAAUACGAUAAAAUAAUUUCUAAACGAGUAGCAAAAAUUAAAAUCAAAUCAUAAUAUGUAAUAUAUUAGUCCAAGAAAGUAGUUGAUAAUAUGACGACUAAUAAAAAUAACAAGAAAAAUAAAUAUUAUAAUGCAAUUUUAUCUAAUUUCUCUAGCAUUCCAUAUUAUUGGGUUAUUCCCUCUUUAACAUUUAACACAUGUCCAUUACUCAUUAUCAUCAUUUGUUGGUCCUUAAUCGAGUCCAUAAUCCAAAUCUGAAUCUAAAUCUAAAACUUUGUAUAUGUCAUUAAGAUUAUCAAGAUCUCCUUAUUCCAUAUACUUUUUGUAUGCAACAUGCUUGUACAACCCAACCUUUUUUUUUAUGCUAUAUUGAGGUGAUAUUGUUAAUAUAGGAAAUCUUUUUUAGAACAACAAAUAUUCUCUAAACCACAUUUCAAAGCUUCGAAUGUUUUAAAUUAAAGAGUUUGCAAGUACACAUUUUAUAUCAUAUAGCAUGGAAUGAAAUAAGUUAUGUCCAUAUUUUUUACCAUAAUUUUUUAUAUAUAAGUAUAUUAUAACACUUUUAGCUUUUAUAAAUUUUUUUAUAUUAUACAUUUUAGCCAUAACUUCAAAAAAAAUUAGAAUUUACAUAAUAUAAUUUUUCAUAUAAUUUUAUAAAAUUAAGAUACACAUAAAUUUCUUUUUACAAUAUAAAUUUUUUAAGAUUUAUAGUAUUAUUUUAGAAUUUUUUUGACAUAAUCACCCCAAACACUUAUAUGUGUUCAUACUUAUAAUAUAAUUUUUAUAACUUAAACUUGUAUAAAAAAUAAUUUCUUAAACUUAAAUCAUGUAAAACCAAUGUGCUAUAUAAGUGAAUAGUUAUAUUGGGAAUAUGUGUGAUAUAUCAGUAAUAGAAAACAAGGGUAUUCGAUACUGAAGGAAGUUGAAAUAAGUAAUAUGUUGUUAGAUAUUAAUUUGAGGUAUGGAUUAAACUUUUAAAAAAAAGAAAAUUGAAGGGGUUAAAUCAUAAAUAUUCAAAAGUUGAGGGGUUAAAUUAAAAAUAUAAAAAAUUUGAAGGACUAAAGUUACAAUUAUACCAAAAGUUGGAAUGGCUCAAUUGUAGAUAUUAAAAAUUUUCAAAGGCAAAAUAAUUAUUUUGCAAGUGAGAUAAUUUUGGUAAAAUUACCAAAAUGCUCUUAGACACAGUGUAUUGAAUUUGAGCUAUUGGAUUUGCUUGAUGAUGAAGGUAAUAAGGGCGAUUGGAUCAAAGAUAAAUAUAUUUAUUAUAAUUAUUAAUCAUGAAGUGUUGGCACAUCUUGAGCCAUUGGAUUUUGAUGGAAAGUGAGAUGAAAUAUUAGCCAUUAGAUUGAAAUUAUUAUUAUAAGAUAUUUUAUAUUAUUUUAUGAUUAUAAAAAGAGAAUAAUGAAUAAUUUUCUUCAUUCAUCCAUGCAUCACAUGUCCAUAGCAUGGAGGAAGAGAGAAAAUUUUGGUUCUCUUACAAUUCGGUUCUCCAUUAAAUUUCAACUUUUCAACCCUAAAUCUUAGAAAUAUAUGUAACGCCUAAAACCCGACCCGAUUCACUGGGUCUGGAUCCCGAGUGUUACUAAACGAUACAAAUUACUUAACAAAAAUAGUUUACAAUGUCUCAUUUAUUUUAAAAUUGUUAUUUGUAGCUCCAAAAGAAAAGCUUAACAUUUGGUAAUUUAAAAUAAAAUAUAUGAUAAAUAACUUAUUACAUCAUAUUUGAUACAUGUCUUUACAAGUUUGAAUUUUGUUUUAAGGCAGACUCAAAAGGCAUAUUCAAUAUUGCACCAUAAAUCCAUUGUAUGCAUAAUAGCCCACUCCACCACCAUCUUGGCGUAGUCCUAGCGUUGUCCCUCCAGGCGAAGCCUCUUCAACAACAAACCUAAAAAUAAUAACAAACCUUGUAAGUACAAAAGUACUUAAUGAACCCUACUAUAACCAUACAUUUAUGGAUACAUUGCAAUCUUGUAUGAAUUUGUACGAGUCAACCAUAUUCUGCACCAUUUAUUUCGGCGAUACCAUUACAAUGUUAUCAUUCUUUUAUACGCCAGUUAUCAUGUCCUUAUCAUAAUUAAUCUUCCAUAUCUUGUUAACUGAGGAAUCCUUCCAAUCAUUUCAUAAAUUCCUUGUCCCAUAAUACUUACCUAACAGAACAUACCCUUAGAAACUACUUCCAACAAUCCACACCUUAAUCCAUUCUCUUAUUUCAAACAACUACUUACUGACAUUAUCUUAGGUGGAUACAUAUAUAUGGCAGAUACUUAUGCAGAGUUUCAUACCAUUGGUUCACACUCAGACAUACCCUGAUCCAGAUCUGUACACAUAUUCAUACUGAUAAUCCACUACGUAUAACAUCCAAAUGAACUCCAUAUCAUGCUAUAUCAGAAUCUCAUAAUUCAAAAUGCCAUUAACUCAAAUUCAGAAUAAAUUUAGAAGAAGAUGUAAUAUCCCUCACUUUUCAUAUUUAUAGUUUAUUAUGAUAGAUACCCUUCUCAACAUACAGAUAUACAUUUCUUUUCUACAGAACCCUUAUGACUUUAUUCAACUCUUAUUCUUGAGCAUAUCAAUAAUUUAUCUUGGUCAUACUUAUUACAAAAGAGACAAAGAUUCAGAUUCAUAGCUUACAAAAUAUUCCUGAUAGUUAACACCACAUAAACUUAGCAAAGCACACCAUACAUGCAAUCAGAUAAAGUACGCCACUAAGGAGAUCCAUUUAGAGUUCGCCACAAAUGCAUUCCAUUUAGAGUUCGCCACAAAGGCUAUUCUUUGUUGUCAUGUUUACGAUAUGGAUUUUCUUAAACUCACAUUACAUGAGGUUUGCCCAUCAUCGUCCUGGGAUACACGGAGAACCCCAUUGGGUAAUCACCAUUCCCUAGUUCUUUUUCAGAGGGUACCAUGACCAUGGACUUUUCCUUCAGAGUUUAUAUCAGAAUUUAUGUUUUUAGUCCCAACGGACUCCAUUAGACACCACUACGAUGAACAGACCCAGACUCUCUUAACAGACACUUUAUGUAUUGACACAAUCUAAAUUCAACCUUUUUACUUCACUAACAUACACUCAAUCAGAACACACACAUCUCAUAGCAUACAUUUCAGACAUAUACAUACUCAACCAUACUUCAAUGUUUCAAUACUCGUACACUAAUGAUCAUAUAAUAUACUUUUCAUGACUUCGAAUCCAUUGUUCAAUCAGUUUCCUAUAGAUGACUCACAAUAUGAUCAGUAUACAUACAGGAGUCAACAUAAAACUCACCUGACGCCCACGUACAGCACCUUAAACUCCAGAUUCAAACUUCCAUCAUGAAACUACAGCAACCACUGCUUACAAAACAUAGGAACACCAUUAAAACUCUUUCGCAUACUAUUUACCAUCAUCUCGAGCAUAGAUAACCCCCAUGCAAAGCUUUAUUUCUCCAUCUUACUGUUAAUAUACCCAUACAAACUUAAACUUUCAUAACUUAACAUGCAGAGCCAUAAUACUUACCUUGACAUGGAGUAUCUACUGAUAAAAAUAUAGAAUUACAACUUCCAGCUUAAAGAAGAAAGAAAUGUUUUUGGUUCCUUAAAAAUAAGAUAAUAACACUUUAGAAGAAGGAAGAAGAAAACUCUCCUUUUUUUCAAACUUGAAUACAUAUAUAUACAACUUAUAUCCUUAUUAUGGAACUUGACAUGUGUCACAAUCUUUCAAAAUUGUCCUUAUUUUGGUCUACGACCCUUGAGAAGAACACAAAUGAUCAUCCAAUAAGUUUAUUUAUACCUAACUCAUCUACUCAAUUGAUUCCUAACCAGAAUGUUUACAACGUAACUAGCAUAGUAAUUUCAAUCAAACUUGGCGUACAAUACCUUUGGUAUUAACCCAACUUGCAAUUUCCCCAAUACUUUUACCGAGCUCUUAUUCUUUACAACUCAACACAUUUUAAGGUCAUUCUUUACCUAAUAUCUCAACUUCUGUUAUGUGCCCAUUCUAUACGCCUAAAAGAAACUAUUGGACGGAUAGAACUAUGCCACAUAUAUUACUCUCAAUUUACGCGCCAAAACUUAAGACCUGCCAAACCAAAGAUGCUACAAUUUCUAUAGCAACCAAAGAUAAGAAAGUGAUGAAAGUAUUAUAGACAAAGGAAAGAAAGUGAUAAAAGUGUGAAAGGAAGAAAAUAGAAGCAAAUAGAGUGAAAUUUAGCUAAAAAGAGUGUCCUGAAAGUGAUCAUGUGAAAAGUGUUCGUGAGUGGCUUACCGAAUCAUAUCGCAUCAACACAGUAAUAUGGAAAAGUAUGAAUUUCAAUUUAUGGACAAUAAUGUGGCAUGUACUUAGGUAAGGAAUGUGUUAAGUAGAUAGUGAAAUGCCUUGAAAACAAGUUUUGUUGAAGUGGGAAUGUCUUGAAGAUUGUGUGGUUAAUGAUUAGUGAUUGAACAUGGAUGUGUUACAUGAUGUUUUGAAGGUAUGUAUUGAGGUAUUUUAAAGAAAAGAAUGGAACUUAAGUGAUGUAUUAAUCUUGAAAUGUGACAUCUUUUGCUCGAGUUAUUGAUUUGACUCGUGUAAGGGAUGUUACAAUCGUUGAUUCUAUAAGAGUAGGGCCAAGUUGUAUAUCCAAUCACAUCCUAGUAGAGCACUCCAAGGCUCUACUACUAGCACUAUAUGGUCUUACAUUAUACGAUACCUAUUUAGUGGAAGCCACAUCAAACUCCUCUGUAUAACCCUCUUCGUUUUUAAAAAAAAAACUCCAAGCACUUAACACACCAUUGAAACCCUGCCCAACUUUUUACAUCUUCUUUAGUGGAUCUUAGUGUACUAGUGUGAACCACAUCCAACUAUGAUCUCAACCUUGUUUAGUGCUUCUCAACACACCUUUACGAACCAUGUUUGACUAUUGUCUAAAUGUUGCAUUGGCAAAACUAUAGUGAUAACAUAAAAAAAUUAUUAAUAUAGGCCACUUACAAAGCUAAGCUUUUAAUCUAAGUAUUUAAUAUUUAAAUUUUAAUAUUAAAAUGUCACUUAAAAAUUAAAUAUAAAACCACUUUUAAGUUUUACAUUAGUGCAAGGAGAUUCUUCCCACUUAAAAUAUAUUUAUUUGAGUAGCACUCAAAUAGUGGAGGCCCAAUUAGAGAUCCGAGUUCUCAUAUAAAUGUAAACAAAAGGCCCAAAUUCCUAUGGUAAACCUGUCAUUUAAGACAAUGUAGAUCCCCUCCGUCGGACUAGGGUUUUCUUUUAUCUUCUUACACACUUUUACUCUUUAUACACUUCGGCUCCACUGCAAGCAAAAUCUAGAGAUCCGUCGACAAUGGUAGGAGUUUUCGAAGUAGGCGCCGUUCCGUUUAAUCCUGACGGCUGGGGUCCGCCCGACUCCACCACCGCCACCGUGCCGUCCACCACCACCACUCUCCCUCCUCACGUUCCUUUCGCUCCCUUCUCCCGCUCUGAAAAACUCGGCCGAAUCGCCGACUUCACCCGAUCUUUUGCAAAUGCCAACCCAUCUAACCGCCCUUCUUCAGGGAAGCCUGGCGCAGCCUCCUCAGAGUCGCCCUUCGAUUUCUCGCUCGACCUCGAUACUUUCCCUCUUGCGUACCCCGAAGACGAUUCUUCCUUCCGUUUAGUCGACGCAAAGCCGCCCACGCGGCCUAAAUUUGGCCCCAAGUGGCGCUUCAACCAACACCGACCUCAACUUCCUCAACGGCGAGAUGAAGAAGUUGAGGCCCGUAAAAGAGAAGCUGAAAAAGAACGAGCCCGACGUGACCGUCUUUAUAAUCUCAACCGAUCGAACCAGAACCAGCAACGUCGUGAAGCUGCGAUUUUCAAAUCCUCCGUCGAUAUCCAACCAGAGUGGAACAUGCUGGAUCAAAUCCCUUUCUCAACAUUCUCCAAAUUAUCCUUUUCCGUUCCAGAACCUGAAGAUUUACUUCUCUGCGGUGCUUUAGAGUAUUACGAUCGCUCCUUUGAUCGAAUUACCCCGAAGAACGAACGGAGACUCGAGAGGUUCAAGAACAGAAACUUCUUUAAAGUCACCACGACUGACGACCCGGUGAUCCGAAGAUUGGCAAAUGAGGACAAAGCAACUGUUUUCGCCACUGAUACGAUUCUGGCAACGUUAAUGUGUGCACCCAGGUCAGUUUAUUCUUGGGACAUUGUGAUUCAACGUGUUGGGAAUAAACUAUUUUUCGACAAAAGAGAUGGGUCACAGUUAGAUUUGCUAUCAGUCCACGAGACCUCUCAGGAGCCAUUGCCUGAAGCUAAAGAUGAUAUUAACUCUGCUUAUUCAUUGAGUGUUGAAGCAGCUUACAUAAAUCAGAAUUUUUCACAGCAGGUUUUGGUUAGGGAUGGGAAUAAGGUUAGUUUUGAUGAGCCGAACCCAUUUGCCAAUGAAGGUGAUGAGGUGGCUUCUGUGGCAUAUAGGUAUAGGAGGUGGAAACUUGAUAAUGAUAUGUAUUUGAUUGCACGGUGUGAGGUUCAGAGUGUUGUUGAAGUUAAUAAUCAAAAGUCUUUCCUCACUUUGAAUGCGCUUAAUGAGUUUGAUCCCAAGUAUUCUGGUGUUGAUUGGAGGCAGAAGUUGGAAACACAAAGGGGGGCAGUCUUGGCUACCGAGUUGAAGAACAAUGCGAAUAAGUUGGCUAAAUGGACUGCUCAAUCAAUAUUAGCUAGUGCCGAUUUGAUGAAAUUGGGUUAUGUUUCGAGGGUUCAUCCUAGGGAUCAUUUUAACCAUGUGAUAUUGGGUGUUGUUGGUUAUAAGCCAAGGGAUUUUGCUGCACAAAUUAAUCUGAAUACUGCUAAUAUGUGGGGGAUUGUGAAGUCCAUUGUGGAUUUGUGUAUGAAGUUGAAUGAGGGGAAAUAUGUGCUUGUGAAGGAUCCAUCAAAGCCUCAAGUUAGGAUUUAUGAGGUCCCAGCUGAUGCUUUUGAGAACGAUUAUGUGGAAGAACCAUUGCCAGAAGAGGAGCAGGUUCAGCCACCUGCGGAGGAUACUGAAGCUGGGGAGCCGAAUGGCACUACAAAUGAUGUUGAGGCAAAAGAGACUGAGACACAAACUUAAUGGUAAUGGUUCCUUGGGAUUUUUCUUAAUAUAUUCCUCUGCAUUUUGUGUUGUGCCACUAGACUAUUAUCUCAAAGACUUCCAUGCAAGUUAAUUUCCCUUAUUCUUAUGUUAGUACUUGGCAUGUUGUAUGGAUCCAAAUAUUAUUGAGUUAACCACAGUGUGACAGUACCACAUACUAGUAUUUAUAACUUGAUUUUCUUUCUUUUUUUAAUAUACAAAUCGUUUGUAAUCAUAUGAAACUUGGCUUUUCAUGUUAUCUUAUCCUCCCUUAAUGAUGUUCAAUUUUCUUUUCUAUUUUACCAUUGCUCAUAAAAUUUUAAGAGGUUAGAAUUGUUUAGCCACUUCCCUACAACAUUUUGUUCAAUUCGAAAUCCUUCAAAUCUAUACAGUUCAUCUGGGGUUAUUGGAAAUAUCUUUUUGAUUUGGUGGUAUGUUGUAUGGCAUGCAAAUUUCAAAUUUCAAGAACUUUAUUAGUUGCUUAUGAAUUGAAGCAACCAUUUGUUUUGUGGAGCAACUCUUCAUUGUUCUACUUGCUAUAUUGUGUGGAUGCUUUGUCUUUCAUUGUCUGCUUGCUAUGUCAGUUGUGUCUUAUGCUUGCGGUUUUCAGUGUUGAUUGCUAGAGCUUAUUGGUGAUUAAGGAGGACAACAAUCCAGGGGAUGUUAUCGCCUCAAAAGGACCACGUUUGAAGCUCAAAAUUAGUCCAUUGUAUUUUUCUUUCUUAGCUAUUUUUGUGAAUCUGCAAGCCGACUUGGCAACAUGUGCGGGCAGAUUUUAUAGGAGCAUUUAUUCAACUUUUGAAAGUGAUAGAUAAGUAUGCUUUGAAGCUUUCAUGCAGGUCAAGAACUGUGAUACCGAGUUUACAAGGCUUUUGCAUUUUCAUAUUCUCUUUUAUCUGGAGGCUGUUUCUUUUCCUGGAGUGUUAUGAACUUCGCAUUCUUUAAAUGUUAUAAUUUUGGUCAUCUGAUUCGAGUUACUCUUAACACUACUUUUGGAUUAAAAGAGUGGAAAGCUAAAGAAAGUAAGUGAUUAUAUCUCAUGGGUUGGGUUAGGUCAGAUUCAAGUUGGGUUAAUGUAAUGUAAGGAAUUUAGAUUAAUUUUUCAAGUUCGAGUUUAGCCUGAUUUGAAAAAUAGGUUUAAAAUUUUGCUCAAGUUAAAAAAAAAAAAGUAAAUAUGGAUCUGACUUGGUUUGCUCAUAUUUUAUUUUAUUUUUUUAGAUUAAUUUUUUAUUUAAAAAUAUUUUUUUUGAAAAAAUAAUAUACUAAAUGCACUAAAAAUAAUAAAAUAUAAGUUUUUUAAUACAUUAAAAAUACAUUAAAAAAGCAUUUAUAUUAAAAAUAUUAUCAUAAAUAUAAUAAUUUUUUUAUCAUGUUAAAAAAACAAAUAUAUAUAAUAAAUAUUGCAUUAAAUAUAUAUUUUAAAAUUUUAUAUUUGAGUUGGAUUAUUUUAUUGGGUAAUUUUUUUUUUUGGGUUUUGAAUAGUAAUUUAAUUUUUAUUGGAUUAAUAAUUGAAUAUAAAUAUAUAAUUAUUAUUUUAUAUAAUUAAUUUUUAUAAUAUAAUAUACUUGUGUUGGGUUGGGUUGAGUUAGGCUGAAUAUGACCUUAAAUUUUACUCAGUUUAUUUUUUAGAUAUCAUGUUUUUGUCUUUAAACAUUUUUUAUUUUCAAGCAGGGCUUUGAAUUCAGUUAAGUGAUUUGACUCAUAAACAAGUCUAGUUUAAAUAAAAGAGUAAGGCUGAGUUUGGAUGGACGGUAAGAUGCGUUGUGCUGCGUUUAGCUUAUUUUUUUCUCAUGCUACAGUAUUGUUAUAGUAUCUAAUUUCACCGUUAUCGUUAUUUUUAUACUAACCGUAGGUAAAUGCACCACCCAUUCAAAGCUACUCUAAUUUAAUAUUUUUGUUUAGAUAAAUAAUUGACAGGAAAGGAUUAUAAUUUGUAUAAUUAUAACUUUUCAUAAAUUUAUUUAUGGUAAAUUAUAUUAUAGGUCACCCAAUUAUGCUCAGAUGUUUUUUCUUUUUUGUCAUCAAAGUUUUAAAACUUUUAAAAUUAUCACUCAACUAAUCAGAUUUGUUCUUUUUUUAUCCAUUUUUUGUUGGUGAUAUGAUAAUCCAAUAGUAUAAUAAUAAAUUUAGUUCUUAAUUUUUACAUAUUAUACCAAUUUAAUCAUAGUUUUAAAAAAAUUACCCUCGGCAUUACAAAUUUUCUCAAAUUGCUCUUAAUUCUUAAAAAAUAAAAAAUAAAAAUACACAUAUUUUCAAAAAUAUAAUAAAUUUUAAAAAAUGUAUAAAUUACAUUGUAUUUUAUUUAAAAUAAUAAAUUAAUCUAAAGCCCUAAGAGCAAACCCUUCUUCAUACAGAUGAUGGUGGUGAUGACGAGAAGCCAAAGCUAAAGCACCAUGGAACGAGCGAGGAGUAGAUUUUGCAGGUGGAACUGAAAGCGUGCACCCCGUGAAACAUUAAGGUUUGAAAGUUGGCCCAUAUAGUACCAGUUCCGGUGGCGGCAAUUAUCGCCGGUUCAGCCUGUUGUAAAAGUCAUUCAAUGAAUUACUUUCAUGUUUGGGUAUCUCGUGUCGUAUUUUUUUAUUUAAAUUGUGACUAAAUUAACAUAAUAUGUAAAAAUUAAGAAUUAAAUUUAUUAUUAUACUCAAUUUUGGACUGUCACCUCACCCUUCUGUCAAAUAGUUAAUGUCACUAAUCGAAGAUAGACUAAAAAGAAUAAACUUGAUUAGUCAUGUGAUCAUUUUGAAAGUUUUAAAAAUUGAGUAACCAAAAAAAAUAUUUAUGUAUAGUUUAGUGACCAGCAAUGCAAUUUACCCAAUUAUUUACAAAAGACUAAAAAGACAUUCUACACCUUAAAAUUUUGUUUUACUUUCCUUUUACUAGUUUUCCUCCCCCAAAUUAGAGUAAAUAAAAAUAUUUAAAUUGGGAAAAUAAAGAAAAUAUUUUUAAUUAGUGUAAAAUAAUAUUUGCAAAUUGAAAUGUUGGAUAUAAUUAAAAUAUAUUAACUUGUUUAAUAAUUUAAUCAUUAUAAUAAAAAUUUAAAUAUAAUUAAAGCAUUUUCAUUGUUUAUAAUGUAUAACAAGCCCAAAUAUGCCCAGGCCCAAACCAAUAAACAGGCCCAAUUAACAGCCCAAAACCCAAAUUAACCUAGCCCAAACAUUAAAAUUUCAGAAACCCUAACAGCAUUUGCCCGCAACCGCCGCACAUCCUAACAACAGCCCCGCACAUGUCGCGCACGUUCGCCUCCACGUUGACUGGCCGUACCUGCAGCAACAAGCAAAAGCAAACAACAACAAAAUAAUAGGAAUAACAGAAUAUAUUUGGUUUGAUUUUUUUUUCUUUCUUCUUUCUCAUUUUCGGCUAUAAAAGCCCAAUUCCAGGCAUUUUAAAAGAGGGGGGCAAAUUCAGUGUAAAAGACAUACGAAAAUAGAGAGAAAAGAUUGAAAUACAAGGAAAAUUGAAGGUUAAUCGCGUUUAUUCUAUUUUCAUUUUUACUUAUUUUUUUCUUUUCUUUUUAUUUGUUUUGUGAAAUAAUAGUAUAAAAGGGGAAAAGAGAGACUUACCCAGUGGUCGCGUUCUAUUCUCCGUCUCGACCGGAGGCCAGGACGGUGAUUGAAGCCGUGGGAGGUUCAUGAACGGCGGCUCCAAAGGGUUAGAGAAACCCUAAGAGAAGCAGCACUGCUUUAGAGGAAAAACAAAAUUUUUUCCCUAAUUUUUUUUCUUUUUUUAAAACUUAAAAUAGAACAAAGAUGGCGCCGUUUAGUUUGGGGGUCCGCGCAUAUCAACCUUAAAUGGGAGAAUUGCGCAAUAAGUCUUCCCCCUUUGCGCCAUGUUUUAUUAAGCCAGUUAUUUCUUUUUAAUUUGGCCCAAAUGUUUUACCUUGUUUCAAAUCGGUCCCCAUUGCGGCGCAGCGGUUUAGGGAGCUGGAUUAUUUCGAUUUGGGCCCCCUCAUAUAAUGCGUGUGUUGCAAAUUGGUCCCUGUUCUAUUUUAAUUUCAUUUUUUGGUUAUUUUGUUUUUUCUCAAUUCGUUUUUUUUUAAAUUGUUACUUUUAAAAUUAUUGCUAUAUUAUCUAUUAUCAUUUAUUACUAUUUCUAUAUUUAUACACGCAUUUUUUAUAUAGUAUAUAUAUAUAUACAUAUUUCUUUAUAUAAUAUAUAUAACUUUUAUGAAUGCAUGCAUUUUACAUACGUUUUAUUUUUUAUCUUUUGUAACCUUUAUAUACUUUAUAUAUAUUAUAUAUAUAUACUUAUACAUUUCUUUUAUUUUGUAAAUAUAUACACAUGUACAUACUUUUAUUUUUAUUUAUUUUAUUUUCAUAAUUCUUACAUGUACAUAUAUAUAUAUAUAUUUCUAUAAUAUGUACGUACAUGUUUUUUUUAGAAAUUAUUACAAGUCUUUUGCUUUACAUGUUUCAUUCCUGUUUAUAUGUAUACUAAUAUAUGUGGGUUUAAUAUAUGUGUACACAUAUUUGCAAAUUUACUUGUAAAUUGUAUGUACUUGUAUAUAUAUAUUUUGUAAAUAUUUAUUCAUAUAUGUUUUUAGAGUUUUUGUUUCAUAUUAUGCAUUAACUUUUAACAUGCCUUUUGGGAAAUAUAUUUUGGUUUUAUCAGUAUAUCAAAACCAUUUUCUCUUGAUUCGAAGUUUUUUUUGAAUAAAAGCAAUAUUCAAAGUUUGAGAUUUUCAAGGAAAUUGAGCCCUAACGUAUUGGGUUCCGAUUUUCUUUGUUAAUCUAAAAUAACCGAGAAUAUUCUUUAUUCAAAAUGUAUGAGAAUAAAAAUCAUUUUCGGGAACUUAACUUGUUGUGUCCUAAUGUAUUGGGUGUGACAUGUUACUUUCUCAAAAUGAAGAUUUUCGCAUAAAAUAAAAGUGGUAUUCAAAGUUUGGGGAUGUUGAGAAAUUGUACCCUAAUGUAUUGGGACUCGAUUUCUUUACAUGACUUGAACAAUUGAUUAUCCUUUUCAGAUUUCAUCAUUUGAGUUGUUUUUAAAAAACCUUUUUUAGCCCUCGACACUAAGACAUUAAAUAAUUAAUUUGGUACCAAUUUUGGGUGUUACGAGGGUGCUAACCCUUCCUCGUGCGUAACUGACUCCCGAACCUGUUUUCUCAAAUUUCAUAGACCAAGACACGUUUUAAGGUAAGUUGAUCACGCCUCAAUAAAGGAUCGGUGGCGACUCCAGUUUUAUCUUUAAAGUCGACAACUAAAUUUUUGUUUUCAAAAUGAUGGUUUUGACAGCUUGGCGACUCCGCUGGGGACACUAGAGAGUCGAGCCGUGAAUUGGUUAUGUUUUGUCUUUUUGUCGAAAAUCAAAAGUUUUUUAAAAAUCAUGAUUUCCCUGUGCAUUCAUUUUCAUCAUGAUAUGUUUGCAUGAUUGGACCAAGUUGGUUGAUCUGUAUUUGCUUUUUGCAUAGCAUGGUCAGUUUUACCCCUUUAAGUGGGAGCGAGAAACUAGUCCUUCGUGAGGUUUUCACCUCCGUGCAGGGUAGUGGACCGCUUCCGGGAUACAUUCGUACAUAUGCCUUCGUGAGAUUUUCAUCUCCGUGCAGCCAUAGGGAAAUGUAUUCCCCUGAACUGAACUCGAUCCAUGUGAGCCUAUAAUGGGUAAGGAUCGAGGAAUCUGCUAGUUCGGGUACCUUUGCUCUAGAAGUCAAACCUCAUAUAGUGAACCUUAGGAACUCACCCUAGGUAGAACUACAUUGAACCCUAGUAGAUACCCGAAUAGGUGUUUUAUUAUUUCCAAUUAUAUUGGAUUCUAUUUUUAUACCUAAUACUAACUUGUUAUGUUUUGUUUUGGCUGCAUGACAUUUUGACCGUAUUGCAUUUCAUCAUAGAAAAGAGGUGUUGAUUCACGUUCGGUUGCUAAAUAGAGAGCUUGUCAUGGAAAAUGGAUUUCUUGAUAAAGUGGAAAAUAAUACGGUUCUCCGAAUAUAGUCCAAGAAAGCGUGAUACGAGAAGUGUAACAAGAGGAGUAUACGACUUUGCUGCGUUGAUUCAAGAUUAGCACAUAUUAUUCAAGAGUCGUCAAACAUCCCAACCUUUUUAAAGAAACUAAUGAACGUGAGUGAGCAAGGAGUUACGACCUAGAUCAAACAAAAAGGAGCUCAAAUUCGCGAGAUGCAUCUUAAUAUCUGAAUGGUCGAUGUCUUUGCUUGGAGUACGAGGGCGAAGCCAUAUAUAUAUCUGCUUUGUGUAAAGAGAUUUAUUUUCUAGAGAAGUUUUUCUAGUAAAGAAUUGGACCAGAAUUAACGUCUCUUUUGCAUUCAUUUCACGCUUUUGCAUUACAUUACAUCAUAUGCAUUAAACACAUUAUAGACCUUUAUUCAAUCCUAAUAAGUCAAAAUCACUGCUCAGUUAACCUGGAAACCAACCAACCAACUCGAGCAAAGAUUAAAGACAUGGAUCAGAGAUUGGAAAAGCUCGAAUAGCACCAGAAAGAAAUGCAAGACCAACUCCAGUUACAAGUGCAGGAGCGGUUAGACAAGAUGCAACGGGAUAUGUCAGAGAAGAUGCAGGAAUCCCAAAACAAUAUGAUGACAAAGUUGACCCAACUGUUGACUGGAGGGGGUGAUAAAGGAAAGGGUCCCAUGGCUGAUAUCGAAGAGGGUAACGAGGAUGAAUCACUAUAUCCUCCAGGCUUUACUCCUCCAUAUGUGCGAACUCAAGCUGAAUAUCCGCACAAAUCUACUGUCAUAAUCAGGCCUCAGCAGUUCCAGGCCGGUGCUUCAAACUUCCAGGCUGGAUCGGGCUCUAACCCUGGAAACCACCAUGCUAAUUUCGCCAUUCUUGAAUUUGAUGAAGUGGUUGAAAAAGAAAGAAUAAAGGAAGAGUUACCAAAGCAGUUAGAAGAAAGGUGCAAAUGGCUCGAGGAGAAAUUCAAGGCGAUGGAAGUCACUGAAAGCUAUCGUGAGAUUGAUGCUAAAGAGCUAAGUUUAGUUCCGAAUUUGGUACUCCCUCAUAAGUUCAAGAUGCCAGAAUUCGAAAAGUACAAUGAAACAAGUUGCCCAGAAGCACAUAUCACCAUGUUCUGCAGGAGAAUGGCUGGAUAUGUUAACAAUGACCAGCUAUUGAUUCAUUGUUUCCAGGAUAGCCUCACAGGGGCAGCAUCUAAAUGGUAUAAUCAACUGAGUCGUAUCGUGAUUGGUUCAUGGAGGGAUUUAGCACAAGAAGCCCCAUUCAUUACGCAUAUGUUAAGAAGUGCUACAAAGAGCUUUUCUGACAUAGUUAUGAAUAGUGAAAUGAUCGAAAAUGCUAUAAGGAACAGGAAAAUUGAUGUAGAGGAGAGUAACAAGAGGUCAGUCUCAAGGAGAAGAGAAAAUGAGGUGAAAAACACGGGUUACUCUAAAUCAGUUACUGUGAGUCAGCCAAGAAAGGUGGCUGCUAACCAACAAGGUUCAUCAAGGUAGGAAGCUGGUACAAGACAAAACACUGAGAGGCCGCAAUUCACGCCAAUUUCGGUGUCAUAUAGGGAGCUAUAUCAAAGUUUUUUUGAUGCACAUGUUGUUUCCCCUUUUUAUGUGAAGCCUCUACAACCUCCGUACCCCGAAUGGUAUGAUACGAACGCACAAUGUGCUACCAUAUGGGAAUUACAGGACACUUGAUUGAGAAUUGCACUACCUUCAAGAAACUAGUUGAAAGACUUAUCGACAUGGGUGUUGUCAAGUUUGGUGACUCAUCAAGUCCAGAAAAUCCGUUACCCAAUCAUGAUUGAUGAUGGAGGGAAUGCAAUAUAAGUGGUGAGAAAUUUGCACAUCGAUGUCAUAUAUGCAGACAUAAUUAAAAGGGUCCUUGUUAGAUAUUUGCCUGAGAGGUGUUAUAAAUAAUGGACUGCAGAGGAAACCCCUAUAUUACUUAGAGUCUGAUAAAGUAAUGUUCAGAACACACUUGUUGCUUUUAGCCUAAAAGCAAUAAGAACUUCUUUGUGAAAUAGGCUCAUGUCUGAACAUUAUUAUUUUAAUGAAAUACAUCAUUGCAAUCAUCUUCGAGCAAAUGUUCUUUCAUUCUUUACGAUUCUUUCAUUCUUUUGGAUUUUUUCUGCCAAAUCAUUCUUUCAUUCAUAAUCAUAUUAUCUAUAAAUUCAUAAAUUCUUUGUAUAUUCCUUAGCACCUACAAUAGGUCCCUGGAUAUCAAUGACAUGAGUGACGCUGCUACAGACUCAUAAUCUCCUCUUGAGUGAAACAUGUGUUUAGAGGGAUCUCAUGACUUUGAAGAUGACAUAGAUUGUAGCUUAUCUCCUAACUUGUUGAGGAUGGUAGAGCAAUAAGAAAACAAAUUUACCUCAUGAGGAGACAAUGGAGACUGUGACCUUGAAGAAACAUGUAUGACCGAAGAAACAAAGUAAGACGCUAUUGAGUUACUUCAAGAAUUCAAAAAUGUCUUCGUAUGGUCAUACUAGGAUAUGCCCGGGUUAAGCACUGUCGUUGCAAUCUGAACAACAGCACGAUAUCAGAAAUUUACAGUAUGCUUAAGAUUAAUAUCAUGAAUGAUGCAAUAAAAACUCUACUGGAGCAGUGCCUCUCUCUUUAGUUCAUCACGAUUUUUUCUAUUGAAGUCAAAGUUCUUUUUCUCCGAGUAUUGGCUGAGCAAGUUGGAUGAGCAAAACGGAUUCAAUCGCGAUGUGAUCAAUUGAACUUGAUAGAAGGAAAAAGGCUAAAAGCUAUUCAUCACGGUCAGAUGUACCAGAAAUGAAUGAUGCGAGCCUAUAACAAAUGUUCAUCCCAGAGAAUUCCACGAGGGUGACCAAAUGUUGAACAUCUUCCCUCUACAAUAAAAUUGUUUUGGAGGGAAGCGGAUGCCAAAUUUGGAAGAACCUUAUGUUACAGAGACGAUUUUUCCAAAGGAGCUUUGAUUUUGAGCGAGAUGGAUGAUAAGUCCUGUAAACUCAGAUUCAGUCAGGAAAUACUCCGCUUAAAGAAGGAGAUGACUAAGGUAGAAAACCCGCAAAGGGGCACUUUGAGUCGUAAAAAUGAUGAAAUGAAAAAAUGAAAAAGUGAAAAUGAGAAAUGGAAAAUGGAAAAAGAAAAGAAAAUGAGAGACCAAGGCGAAAACCCGCAAAGGGCGCUUUAGACCAAAGGGGAUUUGAGUUGAAAACUCGAAAAGAACGGCUCAAAUAUUGAUCAAAAUGGGGCAUGAGGUAAUCAAAGCAGCUCAAAUACCAUUCAGAGUGGGGCAUACAAUGGUCUUGCUAUACCUGAAUCAACAGGAAAGGGCAGGCGACAUCUUGGGGCAUCGACAAAGUACUAUAGAUCUCCUAAACACAUGUUAAACUCAGAAUGGUCUUCAGAAAGUCUGUACAGAGAAGUUCAAGUUGCGAUAUCUAGGGCACCUAAUCCUUAUACCAUUUUUGUUAUUCUUGGAACACUUCAUUCAUUGACAAGAUACGCAUUCCUAAAUCAAUUUCUUGUUAUCCAUCUUUAUUAUCUUUGAUAAUCUAUUCAUUUCAGAGCCAUGCUCUAAAUCAAUUCUAUUCUUACCCAUUGUUAUGAUCUCUUGCAAGCAUGUUGCAUUUGAAUAAUGAUGAAUGGACUAAUAAAACUUUCACAAAGGAAGUUUUGCAUAUUACUCUAGAAGUUUCUAAAUAAUAUAGGAACCUCAAAUAGGACUAUUGUUUAGAACGCACCAGGUUAAAGGUUGGAAAUCUAAUAAGGAAGAGUCUAAAUUAAGACUAUCCCUUUGAAUUUUGUUGUCUAAAUCAUUGAUUGAAAAACGACAAGAUGUCGUGUUGGUGAUAAAGCUUAAAUGAACAAGCAAGUAAUGAUCACCGAAUAAUAAGAAGAAGUUGUUCUUGGAGAAGAAUAUUCUUCAUUUGUGCAUGAGCAUUUGGUAUGACUCCCUAGAAAUGGUGAAAAUGACAAAAGAGCUUCACAUUCUACAUCCUUGAAUUGUGAUAGUGAAAGAUUGAGAAAAGGCCAGAUUUUUUUUUUACUCUUGAGUUACCACGAGAGAAAGAUGAUACAGAUUUUGUGUUCCAAUGGAUUGAAAUUUGAAGUUCACAGUGGAGGGCAAUUUGAUUAAGUGUUUUUCGGAGAUGCUAGCUGAGCAAAAAGGUGUUAUAGCACAUUAGUGAGGAAACCUUAAUAAACUUUGAGUAAUAAUAACUCAAGCAUUAAAAUAUUAUUUUCAUGACAUUUUGCAUUCAUUUAAAUGACAUUCAUACACGUCUAGUUAGAAGCAUUUGAUUCAUUCUAAUCAUGACAUCCUUAAUCUCUAGGCAUAAUCAGGUUCAUCAUACAGGUCAUGUUUCACAGAAAACAUAUCAGUAAAAUCAUAAAGCCUUAUCCCCCUGAGCAACAGUGGAGCUGGCUAAAAAUCAGCAGAUCUUGUCUUCAUGUAUUGGCGUGAAGUAGAUCAAAGAUAGCAGAUCUUGUCUUCCCAUACUGGUGGUGAAGUAGAUCAAAGAUAAUGGAUCUUAUCUUCAUGUAUUGACAUGAAGUAGAUCAGAGAUAGCAGAUCUUGUCUUCAUGUAUUGAUAUGAAGUAGAUCAGAGAUAGCAGAUCUUAUAUUCAUGUAUUGACAUGAAGUAGAUCGAAGAUGAUGGAUUUUGUCUUCAUGUAUUGACAUGGAGUAGAUCAGAGAUAGCAGAUAUUAUCUUCCCAUACUGGUGGUGAAGUAGAUUGAAGGUAAUGGAUCUUGUCUUCAUGUAUUGACAUGGAGUAGAUCAGAGAUAGCAGAUCUUGUCUUCAUGUAUUGACAUGAAGUAGAUCAGAGAUAGCAUAUCUUAUCUUCAUGUAUUAACAUGAAGUAGAUCGAAGAUAAUGGAUCUUGUCUUCAUGUAUUGACAUGAAGUAGAUCAGAGAUAGCAGAUCUUGUCUUCAUGUACUGGCGUGAAGUAGAUCGAAGAAAGCAGAUCUUGUCUUCAUGUACUGGCGUGAAGUAGAUCGAAGAAAGCAAAUCUUGUCUUCCUGUACUGGUAGUGAAGUAGAUCAAAGAUAACAGAUCUUGUCUUCCCAUACUGGUAGCGAAGUAGAUCGAAGAAAGCAGAUAUUGUCUUCAUGUAUUGGCGUGAAGUAGAUCGAAGAUAGCAGAUCUUGUCUUCCCAUACUGGUGGCGAAGUAGAUCGAAAUACCAGUCUUAUCUCCUUGAAGUUGCAGUGGAGCAGACAGAAGAAACCAAUCCUAUCUCCUUGAAGUUGCAAUGGAGUAGAUUAAAACCACAGAUUUCAUCUCUUUGGAGUUGUAGCAGAGCAGAUCGCAUCAGAUUUAUUUUUAAGUUGUAGCAUAACAAGUUGAAGCUAUAAGUCUUAUCUCCCUGAAGUUGCAGUGGAGCAGAUUAAAGAUAGCAAAUUUUGAAGCUACAGCAUACGAAUCCUAUAUCCCUGACAUUCCAGUGGAGUAGAUCGAAACGCUAGUUCCUGUACCUCUGAAGAUACAGUAGGAAGGAAUGAGGCUACUAGAAGAAAGGCACUGAAUAAGUUGAGGCUCAGUAAGACCAGACACAAUUGGGCUUUUGGUUUUUGCUCUAUUCUCGUUACACGACAAUGAGCAAAGAGGGGCAGCUGUACAAGCCCAAAUAUGCCCUGGCCCAAACCAAUAAACAGGCCCAAUUAAUAGCCCAAAACCGAAAUUAACCUAGCCCAAACAUUAAAAUUUCAGAAACCCUAACAGCAUUUGCACGCAGCCACUGCACAUCCUAACAACAGCCCCGCACAUGUCGCACACGUUCGCCUCCAUGUUGACUGGUCGUACCUGCAGCAACAAUCAGAAACAAACAGCAAAUUUUCCCGCAGCCGCCGCACAUCCUAACAGCAGCCCCGCACAUGUCGUGCACAUUCGCCUCCACGUUGACUGGCCGUACCUACAGGAACAAGCAGAAACAAACAGCAACGAAAUAAUAGGAAUAACAUAAUAGAUUUGGUUUGAUUUUUUCUUUCUUAUUUCCCAUUUUCAGCUAUAAAAGCUCAAUUCCAGGCAUUGUAAAAGAGGGGGGAAAUUCAGUGUAAAAGAUAUAUGAAAAUAAAGAGAAAAGAUUGAAAUACAAGGAAAAUUGAAGGUUAAUCGCGUUUGUUCUACUUUCAUUUUUACUUAUUUUUUUCCUUUUCUUUUUAUUUGUUUUGUGAAAUAAUAGUAUAAAAGUGGAAAAGAGAGACUUACCCGGUGGUCGCGUUCUAUUCUCCGUCUCGAUCGGAGGCCAGGACAACGAUUGAAGCCGUGGGAGGUUCAUGAACGGCGGCUCCAAAGGGUUAGAGAAACCCUAAGAGAAGCAGCACUGCUUCAGAGGAAAAACAAAUUUUUUCCCUAAUUUUUUUCUUUUUUUAAAACUUAAAAUAGAACAAAGAUGGCGUCGUUUAGUUUGGGGGUUCGCGCAUAUAAACUUUAAAUGGGAGAAUUGCGCAAUAAGUCCUCCCCAUUUGCGCCAUGUUUUAUGAAGCUAGUUAUUUCUUUUUAAUUUGGCCCAAAUGUUUUACCUUGUUUCAAAUCGGUCCCCAUUGCGGCGCAGCGUUUUAGGGAGUCGGAUUAUUUCCAUUUGGCCCCCCUCAUAUAAUGCGUGCGUUGCAAAUUGGUCUCUGUUCUAUUAUCAUUUUUUUUAAAUUGUUAUUUUUAAAAUUAUUACUAUAUUAUCUAUUAUCAUUUAUUACUAUUUCUAUAUUUAUACACGCAUUUUUUAUAUAGUAUAUAUAUAUAUACAUAUUUCUUUAUAUAAUAUAUAUAACUUUUAUGAAUGCAUGCAUUUUACAUACGUUUUAUUUUUUAUCUUUAUCUUUUUUAACCUUUAUAUACUUUAUAUAUAUAUUAUAUAUAUUUUUAUACAUUUCUUUUAUUUUGUAAAUAUAUACACAUGUACAUACAUUUUCAUAAUUCUUACAUGUACAUAUAUAUAUUUCUAUAAUAUGUACGUACAUGUUUUUUUUUAGAAAUUAUUACAAGUCUUUUGCUUUACAUGUUUCAUUCCUUUUUAUAUGUAUACUAAUAUAUGUGGGUUUAAUAUAUGUGUACACAUAUUUGCAAAUUUACUUGUAAAUUGUAUGUACUUGUAUAUAUAUAUUUUGUAAAUAUUUAUUCAUAUAUGUUUUUAGAGUUUUUGUUUCAUAUUAUACAUUAACUUUUAACAUGCAUUUUGGGAAAUAUAUUUUGGUUUUAUCAGUAUAUCAAAAUCAUUUUCUCUUGAUUCGAAGUUUUUUUUGAAUAAAAGCAAUAUUCAAAGUUUGAGAUUUUCGAGGAAAUUGAGUCCUAACGUACUGGGUUCCGAUUUUCUUUGUUAAUCUAAAAUAACCGAGAAUAUUCUUUAUUCAAACUGCAUGAGAAUAAAAAUCAUUUUAGGGAACUUAACUUGUUGUGUCCUAAUGUAUUGGCUGUGACAUGUUACUUUCUCAAAAUGAAGAUUUUCGCUUAAAAUAAAAGUGGUAUUCAAAGUUUGGGGAUUUUGAGAAAUUGUAUCCUAACGUAUUGAGACUCGAUUUCUUUACAUGACUUGAACAAUUGGUUAUCCUUUUCAGAUUUCAUCAUUUGAGUUGUUUUUAAAAAACCUUUUUUAGCCCUUGACACUAAGACAUUAAAUAAUCAAUUUGGUACCGAUUUUGGUCAUUACGAGGGUGCUAACCCUUCCUCGUGCGUAACUGACUCCCGAACCCAUUUUUUCAAAUUUCGUAGACCAAGACACGUUUUAAGGUGAGCUGAUCACACCUCAAUAAAGGAUCGGUGGCGACUCCAGUUUUAUCUUUAAAGUCGACAACUAAAUUUUUGUUUUCAAAAAGAUGGUUUCGACAUAUAAUACAGUUUUAUUUCAUAAUAAUUAAUGCAAGACAAUAUUACUUAAAAUAAUAAUUAAUUAAUAUAAUUAUAUUAUAGGGAUAAAUUUUAAAAUUAUACAUGAACUUUAAUUCAAUGUGCAGUUUGAUACAUGAAUUUCGAUUUGGUGCAAUUAUACGCAUAAAACUUUGAUUUUGAUUCAAUUACAAACAUUUUAAAAAAUAACUACACCAAUUUAUUUCUAUAUUGGAUAAAUAUAAUUAUAUGUAUAUGCAAUAUAUAAACAUAAAAUGAUGCUAUAUAAAAUUGCACAUUAAACCAAAGUCCAUGUAUAGUUUUAAAAUUUAUGUCUUGUAAUAUAUUAGAUUUAUUGUUUAUAAAAUUUUAUUGUAUAAAUAAUUAAAAUUUGCUAUUUAAAAAAAUAAUAUAUAUAUUUUUCUUUUUCUAUUUUUUUAUUAAUAAUGAAAACAUAAUACUUUAAAUGUAAAGUAAAAUUUUUAAUCCAAUAAACAUAAAGUAAUUUAAUUCACCAUCUAUUAUUGCUCAAAAAAUUAGUAUUUAUUUAAUAAAAAUAUUUUUAAUAGAAUCAAAAAAAUUUAAUCCAUAGAGGUUUUCCUCGACUCAGGUUGCCCAUUUAUAAUUUAACUGCAAUUAAUUUGCAUCUUCUGCCAGUCAUAAUGCUAAAUAUGUAUGGGAGAAUCCGAAUUUUAAAAUUUUAAAAUAUUUUUAAUCUUUGGACUAUUUAAAUUUGAAAUUUAGGUGUUUCGAAUUAUUUUAGGGUUUGAUUACUUGUAAAUUUAAAUAAUUUUUUAUUACUUAUUUAAAUAGAUUUAAAUUUAUUGGAGUUAUUUUAUUUCCUUUCAUUUUUCAAAGAAAAUUAUUUUUAUCUACUUUUUUUUUUCUUUUCUAACCUAAACACGUUACCAAAGAAAUUUAUAUAUAUAUAUAUAUAUAUAUNNNNNNNNNNNNNNNNNNNNNNNNNNNNNNNNNNNNNNNNNNNNNNNNNNNNNNNNNNNNNNNNNNNNNNNNNNNNNNNNNNNNNNNNNNNNNNNNNNNNUUACUUGUAGUGGUAGUGGUAGUGGCGUAUCAUAUUUAGGGGGUUGACAGGUUCCGGUCCCCUUAAAAUAAAAAAUUAUUUAUUUAAAAAUUUAAAAAUUUUAAAUUAAUAAAGGUAAAAUUAUACUUUAAUUCUCUAAAAAUGAUAAAAAUUUAAUUUAAGCCUUUAAAAAUGAUAAAGAUAUAACUAUUAAAAAACAAUUUAAGUUCAGAUCCCCUUAAAAAGGAAUUUCUGAUUUCGACCUUGUUUACUGGUUAAAUAUUCACUUAUUUCAAGAAAAAUUGGAGUUAAAUGAUGGUUAGAGAGAGUAUGAGAGUGGUAUAUGGCAUUGAGGGUAGUGACUCUUCAACACUGCAAACUGAACCAACCUUUUUGAGCCAAAGCUUCACAAAAGAAGUCUUCAACUAUCAUUUCAAUGUCUUCAACCAUCACUUUUCACUUCAUCUGCCCACAAUUACCCGCUAAUCCUUCACUCAACGAUACGCACAUUCGCUAUUUGGAACCUUUAACUUUUCCCUAAAACCAUUUUUUAGGGUUAAUUUAUUAUUUACACCUUAAAUUGCACUCAGUUAUCAUUUUUUUAUUAGUUUGUCAUACCAUUGGUUUGUAUUAUUUUCUUUUGACUAAAUUAAAAAAAUCAGAAAAAAUAGCUAAAAAAAACUCCAUUUUUUUAAAUAAGAAAAAUAUAUAAAAUUCUCAUAAAUUAAAAAGAUUUUUUAUUUUUAUUUUUAAAAAAACAUAAAAUAUAAAAAGAGCGAAAAUACAAAAAAAAAUGUCAAACAAUUUUAGAAAAAUCUCAAAAAAAUAUAUCUAAAAAUCAGAAAAAAUACGAUAAUUAUAAAAAAUUUCUAGAAAUUAAAAAAUAAAAUUUUAUUUUUAAAAAAUACAUAUAGUUCAAAAACAAGAGCGAAGAUACCAAAAGAAAUCUCAAUUUUAUUUAAAAUAUCAUAAAAAGGGAAAAUUUUAAAAGGACUUGAGAACCAGCUGGUACGUUAUCCAAAUUUUGAUAUGUAUAUAAAUUUGUUGUGAUCUGAAUUUUGGCAUAAUGAUUUUUUUGUCCUCCAAUUUUAUAAAAAAAUUAUCUUAAUUUUCUAUUUAGUUCUUUUAGUCUUUAAACUUGUAUUUUUAUCAAAUAAUCUCAAAAUAGAUGAAAAAAUUAAUGUUUGUUAACUUUACUGACGUGACAUACACGUAGACUGCCACAUGGAUGAUAUAUUAGUAUUUAAUUAAUUUUUUAAAUUUAAAAAUGUUAAUUUUUUUCUAUAGUUUUAUACUUUUUAAUAAUUUAAAUAAUUUUUAAAUUUUAAAAAUAAAUUUUUUAUAAUUUUUAAUUUAAAAAAUUAAUUAAAUAUUGACAUGGCACUCUACAUGCAUGUCAUAUUAAUAAAGUUAACAAAUAUUAAAUUUUUCAUUCAUUUUAAGGUGACUUGACAAAAAAAUAUAAAUUUAAGAGCUAAAAAAAUGAAAAGUUAAAUAGAAAAUUAAAAUAAAUUUUUUAAAGAGUAAAGGGCAAACAAAUCUAUGCACCUUGAAUUUUUUUAGGAAUGCUAAGACUGCCAACUAGUUUUCUGGGCCAAUGUUGGGUGUAUAAAAUACUGUUGGCUUGAGCCUUGCAUCAUAUUCUGAUGGUAAACCUCUACUUGAACUGCCAUUUUUCUCCUUGUAAAAUUAAAUUACAUUUAUUCAUGCAUGUGAUAGCCAAUAAAGUAUUUUUGGAUCUCCACCCGGAAUUUAGUAUGCCUAAAUUUGUGUGAAGAAUAGCGCAAACAAUUAAAGAUAGAAGUAAAUAACAAGUAACCAAAAUCAAAGCUAUGGAGAUUAGUAAGUCAAUGAACAGCUCUUCUUGAUGAGUGCCACUUCUAGAAAACAACUAUUUUUUGUUUGCCAAAGAAAGUAGCAUAUGCUGAUGGAUAUACUUAAACAAAGAUUGCAUUAAUGCACCUAGGAACAAGUGUCAUAUAAUUUUGUAAGGAGGUUAGGGAAUCCAAGCUUUACCUAAAGAAAGAGCACAAUAUUUUAUAAACGGUCCGAUCUCCACCAAAUCUAAUUUUGUUUUUUGUUUUUUAAAUAUACUUUAUAUCUUUCUAAAGUUUAUCAAACAACUAUUUGCUUUGGCCAAUUUUGGAGCAAUAAGAUUAGUUUUUCCAUUAUCGUAAUUCCUAAUAUAUUACCGAAAAAUUAAGUAAGUACUAUAAUCCCCAUUUUAAUGUGUAAAAAGGAGAUUCAAAAUAAAAUUUUUUAGCAAUAGUCAGAGAGGGAGAGAAUUACCGCUGGGAAAGAAUGUAGUUAGUAGUAGAUGGGAGCUGGGUGGACGACACGCAUAGGAGAUCAUCUUAGAUUUAACCUAACUUAAUAGGUAUAUAUAUUAGGGGUAAUUUUGUAAAUAUAGUGGGAUGAGACGAGAUAAGUUUACUCUGUAACACUUUAUACCCGACUUUAUUUACCGGAUCCAAAUAUAGGAUGUCACGAUACUUACAUACUUAAUAAAAUUAUACAACUAGCGAAAAUUAUAUUGGAUGUACUUAUUAUUAUUUUUUAAAAUCUUUUCCAAGUCAAAAAGAUUUGAAUGAAACGUUUAUUAUUUAUAACAGUCUCUUAAAAGCAGUACAAAACAUUACAACUUAAAUAUUUGAUAAGACAUGCAUAUUCGUGGUGUAUAAUACUAUUCGCCAUUUGAAAACAUAUUCCUCAAAGUAUCCCUUUGUAUGCAUAAUAUCGCACUAUGAUCAACCACCUUAGCGCAUUCCUGACUUGGUCCCUUCUGGUAAACUGGUUCAACUCAAGAACCUGCAUUACAAAUAAACACUCAUAAGUUUAAUGGAACUUAAUGAGUCUCAACCAGUUUUACCUUUUAACACCACUGAAGAAAUCAUCAACUUUAAGAUCUUGGAUUUCCUUUCAGACCUUGGCUGAAACUUUUCUGAUUUUUAGUUGGCAGAUAACUAUACGCCAAUCUCUACACUUGAACACCUUAUAGAUAGUUCAAUUGACUGGAGGAUCACAGACUUCACACCAUAGUUCGAAUCUAUUACACAAUCUUUUUGAAGAUAGUUGUUGGAUAUAAACUCCUCAUAAUGAUAUUUAUAUGGAUACUACUCCUAACUGAUUCUCCUACUAACUUUGGCAACUAUCAAAACGCCGUUCACACCGAAUCUUCAAAUUAAUCCAGACAAAUGUACUUACUCGGAUGAAUGUAUUAUUUUAGACCAUCCCAUAGAAUUCCAAAUAACUUUGAUACAUAACAUGAAAAUAUCCUGGUUCAAUGAACUUUUACCCCACUGUACCUCCGGAUACACCAAAUUCUCCUUCCUGGUGAAUUACUAAGGGAGAUUCCUCGGUCAAAUACACUACUGAGAAUUCAUUUAGAAAAUUAUUCAAAUGCAUACCCAGAUUUCACUGCAAUGGCGGUCUAACCACUUGCCACUUAGGCGUUACAGAAUUCGUUAUACAUGUUUUUCAUACAAUACACCACAAAGACUUUUUAGAUAAUUCGCCACAAAGGCUUUACAGAUAACUCACCACAAAGGCUUUUCAGAUAAUUCGCCAUAAAGGCUUUACAGAUAACUUACCACAAAGGCUUUUCAGAUAAUUCGCCACAAAGGUUUGCCACCAAGGUACCACAUAAACUUUUGUGCUUGACGAUAUAGAUUUGCUUAAACUUAGCAUCACCUGAAGUUUGCCCAUCAUUACCCCCGGGAUACGCAAAAACCCCAGUAAACAAAUGCGGCUCAUUUGUCAUUCCCAAAAUGUGUCAUGGCCAUGGUCUUUUCAGAUAUCUGCCAUAUUGACAUUUUCUUGUUUUUACUGUCCCUACAGACCUUGUGUUUAUGGUCCUGAUAGACUACAUUUCUCCACACUGACCUUCAUGUUUAAUGUCCUAGUAGACGUUAUCAAAACACCACUGCGAGGUUCGUUAUCAUAUCACAUACUAUUCCGACACUCCACCAAAGCCCAUUAUCGCCAACCAUACUGGUCAUGCAUCACUCAAAUAACAUAAUGAACACAUUUACACAGAUUUCGCUCAUAUUCUCAACAAAAUCAUAUCUUUUAACACAUAAUUUCUCAUUCAUGCUUACCAUACAUUGUCAUAUUCAUGGAGUGCAUCAUACACUUCAGUACAUGCAUACAAGUGUUUCACAAAAAAUAUACAAAAUACAUGCAUACUACAACUCCUGAAGAAGAUAUGCUUAUCUAUAUAGAUGCCAAUCAUGCAAAGAAUCAUUGUAAUAUAACGUGUAGGUGACAUGCCUAGUGACUCACCUUUACUUCAGUCUAAAGCUUCUAUUUCAAUCAUCUGUCCCAAUCCAAUAGCAACAAUUACUUUUAAAAUCAUGGAAUUUCCAUUAGAAUCUCUAUUUACAAAUAGUUUACUAAUGUUUCAACUACAUACGACCCCAAGUAUUGCCUUCCACUCUCACCCUACUGUUCUUACAUUCUUAUUCCUCAACAUUCGUAACAUAUAGAACUAUAAGAAUUAUCAGAAGGUCGAAUCAUCCACUGAUUAAAUGAAAUCUUAGCUCUACCUUAAUGAAGAAGAAGAAGAAUAAAACAUUUAGGUUUGAAGGAAGAACUAGAACGUUGGGCAAAAAGAAAAGCCAUGUAGUAUGACAUCCUUAAUUACCUUAUUAAAUAGGGAUAUAGUGACCCCUUUAAAUAGGUUAAGAUUAGAGUUCUAAUCAUACUAAAAUAGCCCUAGAGUAUUUAGAGUUUGACUAGAAAAAGAUAGCAGAGUUUAAUAGGAGAAGAAAAGUGUUUGUGGGAAACACGUUGCAAUGUCCUUAUUUGUGUCAUUACAAUGUCGUCCGUCAUUGCAAUGUCUAAAAGCUUCUCCUUGUGACGUUGUCUGCUAACUUUGGUAAGUUCCUGCAAACUAUCCAAUAAAUGCAAGGCACACCCUACAAAUCUUCACAUUGACUCGUAUUUACCACACCUUAUUAUCCGGGCCCUGUCAAGGGCUGAACCUGAUCUUUGCAGAAUGUCAACCAAGCCCAAAUCGUUCUCAAACUUGGAAACCAAAAGACUCAUAAUCUUUAAAUCAAGGUUGUAUAAUGCAACAAGUGUUAGUGAUACACGAACUGACAUCUGCUUCACAAUAAGAGAGAAAAAAUUAAGGAAAUCAACUCCCUUCACUUGAUUGUCACCCUUUUGCGACCAACCUUGCUUUAAACACUCUGCUUUAUCCAACUCUGCUACAAUCUAAAAUCAGUGAUUCCAUCAAACUUCUCAAUAUCAAAAUUCAUUAUUGCCAUCGCUGAAUGGGUCAAUUACAAAAAUGUAGCUUUGUUCUUAUACCAAUUUAUUAGGGAUCGACCCUGUAAGACCCAAUUUUUACUCGGCCUCGCAUACACAAAAUAAACAAAUAAAAAUGAUAAAAAUGGCAGUCCAAUAGUGGCCCAAACAUUAACCCAACCCUAGCUCAUAACAUAAACAGAUCACAAAAAAACCCUAGCCUUUUUCAGCAACCGUCGCCGCCCCAGCCACGCGUCUCCUCCACGUCACCACCAUAUGACCUCUGUACCUGCAAGAAAUAGUAACACGACAACAAAAAAAAGAAAAAGAAAAAAGUUGUAAUUUUUAGGCUAUAAAGCUCUAAAAAAUAGUGUUAUAGUUUUUUACGGAGAUUCAAUACAAAAAUAAAAAAAAUUCAAAAAAACAGAAAGAGAUUCAAAGGUAGUUUAUUUUCUUCUUCGUUAAUCUUAUUUUUGUUUACGUUUGUUUUUUUAGAAAUAAACACAAAGUACAAAAAAGAGAUUGAACCUUACCCUUUUUUUGGUGCUUGCACCGCCAUGGGAGGUCGAGGUUCAUCGUUUUCGAUAAAAAACGACAUUUUUAGACCAAGGGAGUUGAAAGUCCCCAAAAAAUGCCCUUUUUUCGGUUUUUCGGCCACCGCAGAUGGCGGCGCUAUUGUCGGUGACUGGCGGUUGCCACGGUGGUCCGACACCAAAGCCAUGGCCGGAUUUUUGAAAGAAGGGGGGUUUGAGAGUGUUUUUUGACUUGUUUUUAAAAGAAAAGAGGAGAAAUAAAAGUUUUUAAAUUUUUUUUUGGUUUUAUAGAAGGUUGAAACGGCGUCGUUUUGAGCCUUAAUUCCAGUGGCCAAAACGACACCGUUUUGGCCUUAGCUCCCCUCAACCCGCGCGUCGACCCGAUCCAGGGGGAGGAUCCACGUGUUUUGCUUCAACAGGAUAUUUACGCGUGUGAUCCCUCCGCUUUUGCGAUGGUUUGCAAUUUGGUCAUUUUUCUUUCUUUUCUUUUUCUUUUAAUUUUGCCUCGCAUUUUAUUUUCAUUUCAAUUCGGUCUGUGUCAAGACGCUCGUUUUGGGAGGAUGAGGAGUAUUUCCCAAUUAGUCCCCCAUGUUAUUCGCGUGUUGCAUAUUUGCCCUUCAAUUUUAUUUUAUUUUAUUAUUUUCUUUCUGAUUUUGUUUUAAAUUCAAUUUAAUCCCUACUUACCCAAUCACAUUAUUUAAGCUUUAUUUAUUAAUUUAUUUAGCUAUUUGUUAUCCUAUAAUUUUUAUUGAGUUCUAAAUAUUAAAUAUUGUUUUUCAUAUUUUUUAUAUACAUAUUAUUUAGUUUAAACCAUUUAUUUUAUAUGUUAUUUUAAAAUUAGUUUAUUUUUGAUUUAUUUUAUUUAAAAAUUUCUCUUAUAUAUAUAUAUAUAUAUUAUAUUAAACUUGUAUAUGAUUAUUUUAACUUGCUUUAUAGAUUAUUUACAUUAAGUUGCUUUAUAUAUUAUUUUAUUUUAAGCUAUUUUAUAUAUUACUUAUUUUAAAAUUAACCUAUACUAUUUGCUUUAAAUUGAUUUAUAUUAACUAUUUAAAACAUGUCUACAUAUAUUGUUUACUUAGUUUUAUCACUUAUUUUAAUUGUUCUGCGUGUCUAUUUUUAAACUUUAUUUUAUUAUAUACUUAGUUUAUUUCAACUCUUUUUAUAUAUAAUUAUUCUUUAUAUUAAGUUUUUCAUCCCAUAUGUAUUACUUAUUUAAAUUAAUAUAUGUAUAUUAUUUUAUGUAUUUGAUUUUCUUAUAUGAUAUUUAUUUUAAAAUUUAUUUGGAUACUAUUAUUUUAUGUAGUAUUUAUUUUUAACCAUAUUUUUAAUUUAUUUCAAAUUUUCAUAUAUAUAUUAUUUAUUUUAAAUUUAUUUUAAUAUAUAAUUUCCCUUCCUUCAUGUUAUUUGUUUUUUUUUUAAAAACUUGUUGCAUUUUUUUGUAUUAAUUUGCUUGGAGCUUCGUUUAAGAUUAGUUUUUGGUUCAUUAGCUUUUGAAUAUUAAAGUUAUUAUUUGUAUAUGAUGUGAGAUAAUUGCUCUUACGUGUAUUGCAUUACUUAUCCUUAUUUAUUGAUUACUUAUCAUUCAUUAGCAUAUAAUUGUUUAAUAUUUAGCACAUCGCAUUGUACAUAGUUAUUCCAUUGCGCUUUAUUCGCUCAAAAAGUUGCGUUUAAUAUGGUUUAAGUUUCAAAAUCAUUUUAUUCAAAAGCUUUCAAGAUAAUGCAAUACUUUGUAUUUGAGAUCUUCGAGAGGAUUGAGCCCUAACGUAUUGGGUUCCAAUUUUCCUCGUUGAAUCUAAAUAAUCGAGAAUAUUCUUUAAUCAAAACACAUAAAUAAAAAGCUCAUUCUCGGGAAUUCGAUACGUUGUGUCCUAACGCAUUGGAUAUGACAUGUUGUUUUCUUGAGAUGAGGAUUUUUUCUAAAAAAUAAUAAAUGCAUUAUUCAAUGUCUGGAAUUUUGAGAAAUUGUGCCCUAACGUAUUGGGCUUCGAUUUCUUCAUCUGACUUAAACAAUUGAAUAUCCUUUUAAAUUUCAUUGCAUGAGUUUUAAAAAUCAAAAGAUCAACUCAUUUUCGAGGAUGAGAAACACCACAUCCUAUUGGAUGUGACAUUCUAUCUCCCGAAAUAAGGGGGUCUUAGCACGCAUUUUGAUUUAUACAAGUUUUUUUUAAAAGAUCAUAUUUUUAAUCUUUUUGAGUUUUCGAUAUUCAGCAUUAAGACAUUAAUUAAUCAACUAGGUACCAAUUUUGGGCGUAUCGAGUGUGCUAAUCCUUCCUCGUGCGUAACCGGCUCCCGAACCCGUUUUCUGGAUUUUGUAGACAAAAAAUUAUCGUUUUAGUAAAUUUAAACUUUUAUUAAAAUGAUUAAAUUAGGAGGUGAUCCGACCACACCUAAAUAAAAAAGAUCGGUGGCGACUCCAAUUUUCAUUUUUUAAGUCGACGCUAUAUUUUUUGUUUCCAAAAAAGUGGUUUCGACAGACCUGUAUAAACAACGAACACAAAAAGUGAAAAAUAUUAAACACACAAAUUUUACGUAAAAAACUCCUCCAAAGAGGAUUAAAAACCAUAGGCAAAUGAGGCUUCAGUUUUUCAUGAAAUGAGUAAACCACGUAGAAACCCAAACAUCGAAAAUCAAGCCUUAACUCCCAUAGAGUUCUCUCAAAAGGGGUACAAAAAUUCUCUACAUAGUUACCACAAAAACUCUCACCAAAAGCCAUCUGCGACUACAUCUUGUUGCCCCCCAAAAAAAACCUUGUAGUACUACAUCAUUAAUUGCCUUCUUAAUUUCCUUCGCCUCUGAGCUCUCUUAAGCGGCGCAUGCAGCUACAUCUUAAUUGGCACAUCAAAUUAGGGUUACAUUGGCCCUUUAAAUAAGCUCAAAACUAAAGGAAAAAUGUCUAAAAUAACCUUGAAGUAAUUAGAGUUUGAUUGGAAGAAGAAGUCCUACUUGGAGUAAAAAAACAUGGCUGCUUACGUGGAGAAUACGUUGUAUCGUCGUGACGUCCCAUGCAUGCUUGUCACGCUGUUGUCACUGAAUUAAGUUCGAAGUUUGUCCCAGCGUCAUGACGUUCACACUUCUCUCGUUGUGACGUCGUUCCUCUUCAUGAUGUCGAUGUUCUCCUCGUCGUGAUGUUAUGCUUGCUUUGGCUCUUUCUAGGUCAAUCAUCGACUGUCUUCCUAAGUACUUGCAAAGUGUCCAGUAAAUACAAGGCACACUCUACAAUUUCAAUUGUAAAUGUUUGAUUCUACACUUUGUUCUAGUUCUUUAUUUGUGCUAUAAUGGUUUAAUUCUACACUUUGUGAUUGCUCUAACGUAUAAUUAUAUAUAAUUUGAUUGAAUUUGUAAGCUUUAAAAAAAAUCUUCUCAUUUACUCCCAUUUCCAUGUGUAGAUUCCCUUCAUGCAUAAUUGCGCUCUAUUUAUAGCUAACAUUUUUACAAUUAAAAUUAUAAAAAAUAUAGAUUCAAUGUCUCAAAAUUAAAAUAAAAGAAUUAAAAUUUUAAAAAGUAUAAAGGACCUCUAAUAUAUUUUUGGUUCAAUCAAAACUUAUUUUACAUAAUAAUUUGGGAUAGAUCUCAAAAUUAUACAUAAAUUCGAUUCAAUGUGCAAUUUGAUAAUGAACUUUGAUUUAGUUGUGAUUCAAUUGUAUAUAUGAAACUUCAAAUUUGAUUCAAUCAUACACAUUUAAAGAAAUAAACACAUCAAUUUAUUUAUAUACUGGAUAUAGAAACAUAAAAGGCUGAAUUAUUGAUAUAAGCUGAAUUAUUGAUAUUUGAAAUAUCAUACCCACAAUGUAGAUGAAAAAACAAUGAUAUUUGAAAUUAUUAUUUGAUUUUAUAAUAUUAGAAAUCACCAUACCCCCACAAUAUAGGUGGAGAAAAUAAAAAUUUGACAUAUAAAUAUUAUAUAUUAAAAUAUAUAUAUCUAAAUAAUUAGUUAAUGUUUUUAAAAAAUAAUUACAUAUUUAUUAGUUAAUUUUAUAGAUAAAAAAGAUAUGAAUUAAAAAUAAAAAACUUAAAAAAUAUAUUUAUUAAUUAUAAACAUUAAUUAAAAAUAAUAAAAAAGCUUGAAACAAUAUGAAAUAAAAAAAUACAUAUUAAAAUGCUUAUAAGAGGAAUCGAACUUUAGAUUCAAAGAUAAAUUCACAAUUAUCUAACCAUCUAACCAAAAGAGCUAAUGUGUAAAAAAUAUUAAUUAAAAAUAAAAAUAAAAACUUAAACAACAUGAAAUAAAAAAUAAAAAAGUGAGUAUGAGAAGAAUUAAACCCAUGACUUAAUGACAAAAGCACUAACAUUUAACCAUCUGACCAAAAGAAUCGAGUUGUCAACUUUCAGUGAAAAGCAUUCAAGAUGCGUUUUCAGUUGACGUGGCUGAUAGCGCGUCCUAUAGGAUGCGUUUUCCUUUUUCUCUUCAAAAACAACAUAGAUCAAUAAAUUAAAAAAAAAACACAUUUACUUAAAAAAAAUUUUCAACAUAUAUUGAUAAUUUAACCAACAUAAAAUGAUGCUAUAUCAAUAAUUAUGCUAAUAAUUUGUAAGAAUUGAAUCAAACCAAAAUUUCAUUUAUAAAAUUGCACAAAAUCAAAAUUCAUGUAUAAAAUUGCACAUUAGACUGAAGUCCAUAUAUAGUUUUGAGAUUUAUAACUUAUAAUUUAGGGAAAGGGUAAACUAUACCACGUGUCACCCAACUAUGGGUCAUUUUCUUUUUUAGUCACCUAACUAUGAUUUUUUUAAUUGGUGUAACACCCUAAACCCAACCUAAAAGUUAUAAUCGAAUCUAGGGAAAUUACAUUGACUCACUUGGAAAACUAAUUUCAGUAAGUAUUAAGCAAAUAUGACUUUCGCAAAUAGUCAUUAGAAAACUAUUUAUUCGCUUUCAGAAACCACUUAAGAAAUUACUUAAUUUGCAGCGGAAAACCUUUUUUGGAAUUUUAGUUUUGAAAAUCAAAAUUUGUUUUGUCGACUUAAGUGAUUUUGCAGUUUCGCGUUAGAAAAUAUCAAUUACUGACGAAUUAAGCAAAACCCAAAACGAGUUUAGAAACAGAUUACAAACCCAAAAGAUCAAAACAAAUAAUUACUAAAUUCACCAUAUUUACAUUAAGCGCAAAAACAAUCUAAGCUCCCACACGCCGUCCAGUCCUAAGUUAGAGGUUUACUUGAACAGACAAAAAUAAAACAAAAUGGUGGGCUAUGAAGCUCAGUGUAUAACUAAACUAAAAAAAAAUCAAACAAAACAUCAUAUACAAAUCAGAGUAACGCAAAGAAUUUCAUAAUAAUCAUAUAACUAGAGCGGAACAAAUCAAAGUGUCACAAAGAUUUUCAUAACGAUCGUAUAAUGGAAUAGAGAAUGUAUGAUUAUGCCAAUGUGGUGUUUUUCAGAAAAUCAAAAUGCAGACUUAUCAAAAAAAAUUCUACCCAACUCUGCUACACACCAAAAUAAAAUUUCUCCAGAACUCAUCCAACCAAAUCACACCAAUAGAUAAUUGGAGACAGUGCCACCAGAAUUGUAGUUAAAACUGCCAGAUCAGAUAUAUGUAGUCAAGCCACUAUGUUGCAGCUAAGUUGCCAGAACAGAUGUAUGUGGUCGAGCCACCAUAAAUGCAGACAAGCUGCCAAAUAGAAUUGUGGAUAAACCACCAAAUAAUGGAGGUCAUUGAACUGCCAAAAACUUCUUCCUUUCACAUCAUCUUGAACCCCAUGGAAUGUGUCAUGACAUGAAUACAGGAUUAGAAUGAUAAUCAUGUAAGACAUGAUGUUGUAUAAUAAUAGAAACAGAAGGCAUAGAAAUCCAUGCUUUGCAAAACAACUUGAUCAAAUCUUAAUGAAUCAUAACAAAAUUUUCAUGAAGUCACAUGCAUGGUUACAUAUCAGAAUCAAUAUCAAACACAACAACUUAUUCGAAUAUCACACAUUCACAACCAGCAAUGUAAGAUAGAAAUGUACCAUCAAAAUUAACAGAGCACAGAUCAUACCUAAAUAAAUAACAUACCUUAAACACAUCCCAAACUAAAACACAUUAUACGCUAACAGAUCUUGUUUACUUAACUUAUAUCAUAUCAGACAUAUGCACAGAUAACGAAUUAUUCAUCAACAGAUCAUCAAAAAUUAAGUUUUAUGGCUUGUUUCAAAUCAUAUGGACCCCAUGGAAGGCUUACGUUUGAGUCGAACGACGUUUACGGUCAUAGGGAAAAAUUCUAAUUUUUGGCCCACACGGCCGUAUGGAUUCACACAACCUACAUGGCUGGCCUGUGUGGCCCACAUGGCCUAGCACACUCCCGUGUAACUCAAGUCAGAGAGUCACACGGUCUAGACACACGCUCGUAUCAUUUGCCAUUGUGACUCAAUCAAAAUAGUCCUUCACACGGUCUGGACACACACUCGUGUGACCCAAGUUAGAGAGUUACAUGGCCUACCACAUGGCCUGGCAUACAGUCAUGUGGCGUCGGCAAUCACGAAGUUUGGCUUUCGUCGUUUGCAAAAUUCUCGAUUUUUGUUACAUACCUGGUUCGAUUUUAACGUAAAAGCAACAAAGAUGAAUUCUGAACCCUAAAAAUAAGAAUCGAACCUUGAUCAAACGAUUUCCAUAACCAAUUCAAUAUCUUCUAACCUGAUUUUUGGGAUGUUACAAUUGAUCACCUAACUAAUCGAGAUUUUUUAUUUGUCCAUUCCUGUUAAUGACACUAACGAGAGGGUGGCGUGUUAAUUGAAAAAUUCGUAUAAAUUUAACCCUCAAGUUUUACAUAUCUUAUCGAUUUAGUCAUAAUUUUAAAAAAUUAACCCUUAAAAUUUACAAAUGGUCUCAAUUUAUUCUAAUUGUAAAAAAUUCAAAGAAAUAUAUAAAAAUAUGUAACUAUUUUUAAAAAUAAAUAAUAAAAUUUAAAAAUAUAUAAAAAUAAAUAAUUUCAAAAAAAUAUAGUAAAACUAAAUUUUAUAUUAAUAUUAGAUCCCCCCCCCCCCUCCGCGUAUUCAUUGAAUUCUUCCUCGUAGGUUUGCGGGGAAGCUGUUGCUUAUGUUAGACAACUUGAGUUCUUUGUUAGAGAGGCACCAGAUGGAAUGAAAUCCAUGAGCGCAGGGCUUUUCCUUACCACCAUUUCAAUGGGGUUCUUUGUGGGCAGUUUAUUAGUGUAUAUCGUGGACCAUACGACUAAAAAGAGCUGGCUAAGGACCAAUCUGAAUAAAUGCAAGUUAAAUAACAUUUACUGGUUAUUUGCAGUGUUGGGAUUUAUAAAUUUAUUGGUCUUUCUUAUGCUUGCAUCAGGACAUCAGUACAGAAAGCAUCUGCCCAUUAAACCUGAGUCAAGAGAGGAGCUUAAGAGCUUGAACAAUGAAAUGAUAGAAGACGUGGAGAAGAAGACAAGCAUCCAAUCAUUGGAAAAUAUAGAGCCAUAGAAUUGGUGGAGGGGAGGAUUCUUUUAAAUUUAAUAUUAAAUUUAAUAUUAAUAUUAAUAUAUAAAUUAAAAUUAUUAUUAUAUUUUUAAAAAUAUUUAUAUAUUUUUAAAUUUAUUAUUAUAUAAUUUUAAAAUAUUUAUGUAUUUUUUUUAAAAAAUUUUAGAAUUAGGAUCAAAUUAAGAUUAUUUAUAAAAAUUGAGAAUUAAUUUUUUAAAAUUAUAACUAAAUCAAUGUAAUAUAUAAAAAUUGAAGGUUAAAUUUAUUAUUAUAUUAAUUUUUCAACAGUCACAUCAUCCUCCCGUUAAUACAAAUAAUAAAAAUUGAUAAAAGAUGAUCUCGAUAAAAUGCCUAAUUGGAUGAUGAAUUGAUAAAAAAAAUACCCAUAAUUGAAUAACGUGUGAUGUAGAACAAAUUGGUUGUUUAAUUAAUAGCACAUAACAAAAGUCUUCUUAUUAUUUUCAUUUGAAACUUAUCCUUAGAAAAAGUGAGAAGAAAGGACCGUUGGGAGGGGGCCAUGGGCCCAAUAUUUUGUUUGCAUUCCCAUGUCAAUUUUUAUCGUCACAAGAGUUUCCUGAUUAGAGAUAGCAACGUGGCGAAGGUGCAGUGGUUUUUUUUUCCUUCUUUUCCCCACACUGACUCUAGGGGUGUGCAUAAUUCGGGUAAAACCGAAAAAAUUCGGUUAACCGACCGAAUUCGGUUAAUCGGUCGGUUAACCGAAUUUUUUCGGUCGGGAGUCGGUUAAUUUUUUUAUGAUUUUUCGGUUAACGGUUAAUUCGGUUCGAAACCGGUCUGUUAACCGAAAAUUUUCGGUUAACCGAAAAAAUUAAUAAAUAAAAUUAUCCAACCCAACCCAAACUCAAUUUCCCAACCUAAUAAAACUAAAACUAAAGUUUACCCAAUUACCCAAUCCAAUAAAACUAAAACUAAAAGACAACCCAAUUUACUAAAGUCUAAAACCCAAUUUACUUUAAUAAUUUAUAAUUUUUAAAAUUUUAAAAAUAAAAAAUAAAAAAAAUUCGGGUAAUUCGGGUAUUUUUCGGUAAUUCGGUUAAUUCGGUUAAUUCGGGUAAUUCGGUUAAUUCGGGUAAUUCGGGUAAUUUUUAACCAAAAAUAAAAAAUACAUAAUUUUCGGUUAAUUCGGUUAACCGACCUUAUUAACCGAAAAAAUUUCGGUUCGGUUAAAUUUUUUUUUAAAAAAAUCGGUUCGGUUAACGGUUAAAAUUUUUGGAAGGUCGGUUAAUUCGGANNNNNNNNNNNNNNNNNNNNNNNNNNNNNNNNNNNNNNNNNNNNNNNNNNNNNNNNNNNNNNNNNNNNNNNNNNNNNNNNNNNNNNNNNNNNNNNNNNNNNNNNNNNNNNNNNNNNNNNNNNNNNNNNNNNNNNNNNNNNNNNNNNNNNNNNNNNNNNNNNNNNNNNNNNNNNNNNNNNNNNNNNNNNNNNNNNNNNNNNNNNNNNNNNNNNNNNNNNNNNNNNNNNNNNNNNNNNNNNNNNNNNNNNNNNNNNNNNNNNNNNNNNNNNNNNNNNNNNNNNNNNNNNNNNNNNNNNNNNNNNNNNNNNNNNNNNNNNNNNNNNNNNNNNNNNNNNNNNNNNNNNNNNNNNNNNNNNNNNNNNNNNNNNNNNNNNNNNNNNNNNNNNNNNNNNNNNNNNNNNNNNNNNNNNNNNNNNNNNNNNNNNNNNNNNNNNNNNNNNNNNNNNNNNNNNNNNNNNNNNNNNNNNNNNNNNNNNNNNAAAAAAAUAAUUUUAAAAAGAUUAAAUCAAAAUUUUAUUAAUUUUAAAGAAUUAAAAUAUAAUUUAUUUUUAUCAAUUUAAAAUUUUAAAAGAGCUAAAUAAAUUUUUUUUCAUUUUAACAAAAACGGUCCUGCCAGCCCAGCACCUAGCUUGUUGUAUAUAAUAUUAUAAAUAUAGUUUAAAAUAAUAAACAUUUAUUUCUAGAAAAUGGAAAUGGAAUUGAACCAUUAUUGUGUUAGAAAAAGUCAAAAAAAAAAAAAAAAAAACUCCUUGAGAAGGACAAUAUUCUCAUCCAAGGCAGCUCGGAUUCCUAUCAUUUUACCCUAAAGACAUCAACUUUAUCUUCCUUUUGUGUUCAACGUUCAUGAUUUUAGAGGCCUAAUCUUUUAUUUAAUGAAAUACAUCCAAUUUUAUAUAAGGGUCCACUACCCGAAGUCCUUGGAAACUUCUACAUUUUCUUGCACCGUAUGUAUGUAUGGGUAGAAUUUCCAUUUUUCUUCUGCAUGCAUGUGCCAUGCCCCAGUACUUGGCUACAAAAUUAAAGCUAAAUUGAAUCAAUCACUCAAUAUAAUAAUAUCCUGCUGAAAAACCAUUCUAAAUUGGUUUAUGCAUUUAAGGUCAUGACCCUGUUUUCAUAAGUGUAAAUUUUAUGGAUUCUGAUUAACCCGUACAUUGACUAGAUUUUUAAUUACUAUUAGGGCCCUAACCCCACUCCCUCACUCUACUGUAAAACAAGAUUUUCAUGACUAAAAACCGCAGAGAAUCACGGCUUAACCCCUAUAAAUGCAGUCCUUAGAAAGACUCAGCUUCACCACCUUUCUUUAAGUCUCUUACAGCUAAGCUUUAAGCAAAAUAUGGGGUUUGCAGUAGCAGCUAAAGCUGCCUUGCUCCUGCACCUUUCCCUUUUCGUACUGAGUAGCUUCACGGUGUCCUCUCAGAUCUUGCCUGAGGCUUUGCCUCCUCAUUACCAUGGAAUUUCGCCUGUAGUGCCACCUGCUCACCCACCAAGCCACCACCACCACCACCACCAUCACCAUUCCCAUCCGCAUCCCCACCCGCCAACCCCUUCCCCUACUAAGCCCCCAACUCACCCACCUGUUUACCCCCCGCCCAAAGCACCCAAGAUUGCUCCAGUUUAUCCACCACCCAAGUCACCAAGCAAGCCGCCAACUUACGCUCCUCCACCCAAGUCACCCAGCAAGCCGCCAACUUACGCUCCUCCACCCAAGUCACCCAGCAAGCCGCCAACUUACGCUCCUCCGACCAAGCCACCAACUUACGCCCCUCCACCCAAGCCACCAGUUUAUCCUCCAACUAAGCCACCGACUGCGCCCCCGACUAAGCCACCAGUGCACCCACCAACAUAUCCUCCACCAUCGCCUUCUCCACCUAAGCCGCCAACUUAUCCUAAACCACAAAGGAGCCUAGUGGCUGUUCAGGGCGUUGUUUUUUGCAAGUCAUGCAAAUACGCUGGAUCUGACACCCUGUUGGGAGCGAAGCCUAUUUUGGGUCAGUUUGAAACCUAUCAUUAUACUUAAAAAAAGAGAUUAAAAUUUACAUCUUUUCACUAAACAAAAACUUUAAGUGCAAUGCUUGGUUAUAUUCAUUUGCAUCGAGAAUUAUUAGCCCUAGUACGUCUAUCUUUUUAAUGGCCUAAUAAUUUUGAUUUAGGCAUGCAUGUGACUUCCAUGUUUGUUUGAAAGGGGAAACUUGCAUUUUAAAUUUGAGUUCAGAGAGAGAGAGAGAGAGAGAGAAAUGGUUUCUUGGAUUUUAACUUAAAAGAGUGACUGUGUGAGGUAACGUCAAUAGCUUGGCGUUUUAUGAGUUAAAGCAGCAAACUUUACCUUUUUUCAACGUUAGAGCUCAUACUUCUAGGUUCCUACAACAUCAAUGACUGGCAUGCAUUGCAUUGUCAUGGAACCCUACGUUGAAACUUGAAACAAAAGGAAAAAACCCAUUAGCUUCUUUUUCUUUUCCCAUUGAAGAGUUAAUUAAUUUAAAACUAUACUCGAGUAAUACUGACUAGACUGAGCACAUUGGUUUUGAUUUUUAUAGGUGCCACUGUAAAGCUGACAUGCAAGAACACCAAAUACAAGCAAGAGGCCACUGCGAAAACUGACAAGAAUGGCUAUUUCUUCCUGCAAGCACCAAAGACCGUCACCAGCUUUGGAGCCCACAAAUGCACAGU